RNAcentral lists this long non-coding RNA (64140 nucleotides) under Medicago truncatula (barrel medic). RNAcentral's name for it is "long non-coding RNA (MTRU_LNC008660)". The stretch from base 17784 to 17877 matches the Rfam family "MIR5292 microRNA precursor family". The record is from RNAcentral. Lineage: Eukaryota; Viridiplantae; Streptophyta; Magnoliopsida; Fabales; Fabaceae.
GUUAGAUGGGUUUGCUUCUACCUAUCAGUUUAUGUGCUUAACAACGAUUGAAUUCGGUAAAAAAAAAAAGUGCUCCUGGAUUAUAUCGUUCAAAAAGAAUUGAAUAUGUAUAUAAAAUUAAUUGUAUGAUUUUGAUAAAUUGGAAAACCCUUUAAAUUGAAUUGGGGCCAAUUUCUCAAGUCUAAGAGAAAAAUCAAGAAAUAUCUUUACAAGCUGUGAAUAGAUGUGAUUGUGUAAAUGAGAUAUGAGAGGAGAACGAACAAACUUUCAGAUCAGGAGGAAAGAGUUUGCUCAGGAGGGAAAUCAAGUGAAAAAGGCUCACAAGAAUAAAUUUAAUAAACAAUUAUGUGCCUUUGGAUUAUAUAUAUAUAUAUAUAUAUAUAUAUAUAUAUAUAUAUAUAUAUAUAUAUAUAUAUAUAUGAGGACAUAUCAUAUGAGAAUGGUAUUUUUAUGUGAGAAUGUGAGAAUGGAUUUUCAGCCUUCAGAUUAUGAUUUAACGGCUGAGAUUUAAAUGGCCAAUUAAAAAAAUGUUGUGCCUCUCCGUUUCUAAUAACCAGCGCUUCUCAUCUUCUUUCACAUACCUGCAAUUCAACCUUCAACCUUCUUCUUCUUCUUCCAUGAGACCCAAACGAACAAAUCAUUUCUCUUAUCUUUUUUAGUUAUAGAUGGAUAGAUUUCUUUUUCCCUUUCCAUGUCCAUAUUUUUUUUUCUCGUUAUUGAUUCUUGUUAAUGGUCGGCUGACUCAAUCUGCAACACCCCCAGUUUAUCUAUAAAUUUAUUUGAAAACGUUUAAAAAUAUGCUGAAUUCGAUGGCGACGGUGGUCGGCAGCUGCCGGAGUAGAGGUGAAUUCGAUGGCGACGGCGGUCAGAGGCAGAGGUGAAUUUGACGGCGUACACGGUCGUUGACAGCCGUAGGCAAAGGUGAAUUCGACGGCGACGGAGGUCGGAGGCUAAGGUGUUAAGGGCGAUAGAGAGAACACAAAUGGUACAGACCGUAUUAAAAUGAGAUCUGAAAAAAAUAAUUACGAAGGAAGGUGAACAGUUUGGAUGAGAUGUAGAUUCCAGAAGGAGGAGAAGAAGGAUUGGAGAAGGGAGGAAGAUGGAUUCCAAAAGGAGAAGCAGAUAGAUUGGAGAAGGGAAGAGCGUGAAUAGUUUGGAUGUGGAGAGGAACAUGUGUGAUUUAAAAUAAAGUUUUCAAUCUAGACCAUGAAUUUUAAUCAAACGGUUGAGAUUCAUUCUCGUCAUUCUCACAUAAAAUAGUCAUUCUUAUUUGAUAUGUCCUCAUAUAUAUAUAUUAUUGAAGAAGCUAAACUAGCCCACCAAAGAUAACACAUAGGAGAAUUGAACAUGAGAUCUUGAGAGGAACACACACUUCAGGGUUUCAAACCAACACCACCAUAUUUUAAAUUUCCCAUAGGCUCCCACCACACAAAAAAAAAUCUUAUUCGAGGCAUGUACGAUACUAAAUGUGAAUACUUCUCUCAAGCAGGAUAUAAACGUUGGUUUGUCAUUUUGUGAAAGUCUAGCCUCUUUCGAUAAAGACACAUUGACUUUUACAACCUAACUUUUAUUUUUUAAUUAUUAUUAUUUUGGAAUGAGUCAAAGCCCAAUCCUAGAAUUAGAAGGCCUAAUAUGGCAUUUGGUCCAAAUAAAAAACUUCAUUAACCACUACAAAGCUGCAAAGCACUGAGAAAUCAUCGAGAGUUCACUAUAGACCCUAAAUCAUGAUCGAAGGGUUGCCUGACCUAUGUACCGCAAAGGUCGCAUCCAUUUAUGUUCAACAACCAUAAAAAGAAGCAACCCAAUGCAAAAAGAUACACAAUAUCUUUAUGAGAAAAACCUCAAAGCUCAUUAAAAUCUCAUUGACUUAAGUAUUCGAGUAUCUUUGCAGGUUUCAACUAAAAACAAUUGCACUCUGCCACAUUUAACCACACUACUUCGCUUUCAAUCAUAUUCCACCAUAUCAUACCUACUCCGAUCAUCAUCUCAAAUCGUAGCAAGAUAUAUUAUUAUUCUAACUAACUAUACUUUUUAGCCGACAUUUUGGUCGCCGACAUUCUUAUGUUAAAUGAGAGAAAACUAUUAUGUAAAACAACCAUUUUAUAAAUAAAAAAUAUACAAAAUGAAAAAAGAAUAAAAAAAAACAACAUAACACAAGGAAGGGCCAAGGAGUCGGUGUAAACUAAAGCCAAAACCUUUGUUAUUCCAAACUCUUUCAUCCCUCUCUUUCUCUCUCACAGAUGAUUAAUCAAAAAACCCUAAUUCUCUUCAUUUCCAUUUAUGGGUCAAUGUAAUAUUUUCCUAAACAACUAACAUAUAUGUUGAUAAUCAAUUAAAAUAAUGAUGUUAAUAACUUAAGAAUAUAACAUAAUGUAGCAUUUGUUAGGCAAUAAAUAAUAGUAAAUGGUUAUGGGUAGCCUAUAUUGCUCAAUCUAUUUUAUCUUAUUAAUACGAUGACUUGUGUUAUGUUUGUUUCUCCUAGUGACUUCUUGUGCAAUGUUUAUGCGAGUAUAUGAUAAGUUGCUAGGUGAAGAUGACGUGGAAGUUUGCAUUAAGGAGUGAUUGACAUGCGCCAAUGACAUUUAUAGUAAUUUAGUAUGAUUUAUGUUUUGUUUUAAGCCCUCGUGGUUUGAACCUGAAAUUUAUUAUUUGAGAUUAUAGAACUGAAGAUGAGAUUAUGUCUCAUCUAAGGAAGGUUCUAUUUUACUUGAUUUGUUGUUACAUUCAUAUUUUUUCAUUCAAGUUGAACCAUUUUGCACGAUUUAAACUGUUUUCAAAUUUUAAGGUAAAUAGUAUAACAUUAGGCCUUUUUGGAUCAAAUCCUUAUCAUAAACUAUUCUGGUUAACUCACAACCUAGUGGUAGAUGAUAUAUCUCAAGAAUUAAAACAAAUAUAUAUAUAUAUAUGUAUAUAAAAAACAAAGUUUAAUCUUAAAUACAUAAUUUAGUUGUUACAAAUACGGUCUAAGUGCUAAAUAAACUUGUAAAUUUUAAUUAUGAAAAAUGCCACUCGUUCGAAAGAUUUAUGGAUCCAUAUCUGAGUACAAUCGAGAGAGAAAUGAAAGUCAAUGCAAAGGAGAAUGCGAGAUAGAAGUCUUUACCAAAAUAUAAACCCUAACUUGAAAGUUGUUGGACCUACAUAUAUUUUACCCCACACACACACACGGGAGAAGGCAAACUAGGCCACCAAAGUUAGCACAUGAUAGAAUUGAACCUGAGAUCUUCAGAGGAACCUGAGAUCUUGAUUUUUACAACCUAACUUUAUUAUUCUAUUAUUAUUGUUCUGGAAUGAGUCAAAGCUCGAUCCUAGAGGUAUAUGACGUUUGGUCCAAAUAAAAACUACCUUUACCGCCACAAAGCCGCAAAGCAUUGAGAAAUCAUCGAGAGUCACUCUAGACCCUAAAUCACAAUCCAAGGGUUCCCUGACAUAUGCAUCACAGAGGUCGCAUCCAUCUACACUCAACAACCAUAAAAAGAAGCAACCCAAUGAAAAAAAGAUACACUAUAUUAUUAUGCGAAAAAAACUCAAAGCUCAUUAAAAUCUCAUUGAUUUAAGUAUUCGAGUAUCUUUACAGGUUUCGACGAAGAACAAUUACGCCCACCACAUUCAACCACACAAUAUCGCUUUCAAUCAUAUUCCACCGCAUCAAUACCUACUUCGAUCGUCAUCUCAAAUCGUAAUAUGAUACAUUAUUAUUCUAACUAACUAUAUUUUUUAGCCUACAUUUUGAUCCCCAAUUUUCUUAUGUUAAAUGUGAUAAACUAAUACGCAAAAACAAUCAUUUUUUAAAUAAAAAAUAUACAAAUGAAAAUAAGAAUAAAAAAAAAACCACACAACACAAGGAAGGGCCAACAAGACACUGUAAGCUAAAGCCAAAGCCUUUGUUAUUCCAAACUCUCUCCUCUCUCAUCUCUCUCUCUUUCUCUCUCACAGAUGAUUCAUCAAAAAACCCUAAUUCUCUUCAUUUCCAUUUCUGGGUCAAUGUAAUAUUUUCCUAAAACCAAUUUCUUAGUAUAUUAUUAAAUAAGUGUGAUUUUGUUCGUUUCUGGUUUUUUCUCAAACUGGUUACUCAUAAAAACACUUGAUCACAUUUCUCCUUAUGUAAAUUCUACAUUUUUAAUUUAUUUAUCUAUCUGGGCUUCCAUAAAAAAGUGAUUAUCUUCACUUAAUCCGUUUUCUCUUUCCAUUUUCAUCAUAAAAAUUUCAUCUUUUUCAGCUUAACUUUUUAAGCGCUUUUUUAGGCUUUAAUUCUCUACCAUGGCCACUGUUAUCACUGCUGACAUUUCAGCUGAUGCCAACAAAAUGGACUCAAAACCAAAAGCUGAAUCUGAAUUCAGUGUUCAGAAACUUGUUGACAUGUUCACAAAGCUGAAUCCUUUGGCUAAGGAAUUUUUUCCUUCAUCUUAUUCUCCUAAUCAUGAUCAUGGCCGUCAAGGGUUUAAUCUCAUCACUCCUAACCAUUUUCUGGUCAACACUAAGCCUUCUGCUAAUGAUAAUAACCCAAAUAAUCGAAGGGUAUGAUUUUUUUUCUUUGAUCCCUCAUUUUGAUUAUUAUUUUUUUAUAGUUUUGAUUUUUAAUUUUUUUGUGAUGAUUUUUGUGAUGGGUUUUGCUUAAUUGUUUCACAUUUAGCUGAAUUGUGUUUGUGCUGCUUGGAUUAUUGAAAGUUUUGAUUUUUUUUGUUUUGGAUUUUCUCUUGACAAUUAUAUUCUGAAUUGUGUGUGAAAACCCUAUAUCUUGAUUGGAAAUUUUUCUGCUUUUUUUGUAUGGUAAAGGUUAAAUUUUUGAUCAAUUUAGUGAAAGAAAGUAGGAGAGAAACCAUGCAUCAGGAAUUGUUAACUGUGUGAUAUGGAAAAAAAAUUCAAUUUUGGAAAAAUUCAACUGCAUCACCUUAUUCAAAGGGAACUAUUGCAGGAUGCAAAUUUAGCCUUAAAACAAAGAGUCUGUAUAUUCUGUUUAUUGACAAAUUUUUAGGUCUAAAUUGUGUCUCUGACAUUUGAUAGUACUUACAUGCAUUGUCUAUGAAUUUUGUACUUUCUGUGUGAUUUGUUUGUAAUUUAUGUUCACUGCAUUCGUGGCCACUGCAUUGUGAUGAUAUUUAUGGAAUCAUUUUAUCCGCAAUCUUUCGACAAUUUCAGUAAGCACAAUGCGACUGUUACUUGUUGUCGUUAUUCGAUUUCAUUGGCGAACAUUUUUUUAAAGUAUUUACAGUUUACGUUACAUUAUGUAGCUAACGACAACUGUUUACGUUAUGAUACAACAGCUUGUUGUCUUUUCUCUUAUUCAUGAUUGACUCAAAAUCGAUUAUAUGACACGUAUCAUGCUAUGGCGAGCCUACGAAUCUGUUAUGUCAAAACUGAUGUGUGUAUCUGUUGAAAUGAUUUUGUCGACAACAUCGAGUUAUCAGUUUAUGUCUGAGUUAAUCAUGAUAUUGUCAUUCUCUGUGUUCACUGAAAAUUUGCACUGCCUUCUUGCAGAGGAGAAACAAUUUUACCCAAGGGAGGAGAAGGUUGAACGGAAGAUCGCUAAAGGCUCAGAGAGAAGAUAGCGUUAGAAGAACUGUAUAUGUUUCUGAUAUUGAUCAGCAUGUAAGUGAAGUGAGAAUGGCAUUAUUAAAAGCUGAUGCUGAUAUUGUGUAUUUCGUAUCCGAUUUUGAUAAUAGAAAACCAAAUUAUUUAAACACUGUCUUGUUUUGGUUUAGGUUACUGAGGAGCGGCUUGCAGCCUUAUUCACCAAUUGUGGACAAGUAAGUUAUGAGUAUUUAUUGAUAGUUUGGUUAGCAUGGUAAAAAGUGUUACAUGCUUAAUAAUUUUUGACUACGACAUUAAUAUUGCAGACAGUAUUCCAAUGUUGAUGGAAUUUCCCCCCUCCAAAUGUGAAAUAUGUUGAACAUUGAUGAUGUGUGCCUAUUAUGAUGCUUUAUUAUGUCGAAUUUUGUCGCUUUCUUAUUUUCACACAUUGAUCCGAGCCGUUACUAUCAAUUUCUUCAUUCAGCUACGUGGAACAUUCCUUUUUGUCGUUUACAUAUAUGCUUACUCUUGAGUUUGGUAAUCUGAGUUAUGAGGUUAUGCUGUUAUUUCUUUAAUUUUCUCAUUUAAAUCCAUUGAUUUCUCCUAAACCUCAUAUUGAAGGAUUGUUCGUAAAGCUUAACUCAACUGGCCAUACCAAAAUUGUUAGGCUUGACACCUUCUCCCGGGUUCGAACCCGGGACCUCGCAGUUGUGUCUGAGUUUCAGUAGUGCUUAUCACUUUGUAUACAGACAAAAAAAUGCAUCUAGGUUGUUUUUUGAAAUUAUUUUCUUGGUAAAAUAAUUAUCUGAAAAUAAAAAUUAUUUGUGAAAUACGCUGUUGUAAAUGGUGUCGAUAUUCAUUCACUAAAGAUAUAUGAAAUUAGUUUAUCUUAUCAGCUAGACGUAUCAUAUCCUUGACCGAAUAAAAUGCAGAUUUGUUAAAUCCGAUAAAUCAUAUUUCAUUGCUGCAUUUACUGACCUUAAGUUGAAAAUUAUGCCCUCCCCCCACACACAACAGACUAUCCCAAAUGACGCGCACACAGUCACUAUGCAAAAAUAACAGUCAGAAGCAGUGUCAAAUAUUGGCCAUGGCGGAAUGCGAUGGAGGAUUUUUUUUCUCAAACAGCUAUGGCCAAUUUGUGAAAGAUUGCAGGGCCGCAACACGAUGACGUUUUAUGACAGCUUAAAAUGGAGAAUUUUGGCUUUCUGCCAUGGUCUGCCAUCUGCAAUCGAUAACACUGCUCACAAGCAUAAAGAUGGAAGUUUUGCAUCACCAGAGGUAAACAGCUUUUUAUUGUUGUUACAGAGAGUUCAUGAAGGCAGGGAGCUUUCAUACAACAAAACUCACAAAGCGAUAGAGGGCUGCAAUGUGUUUUCCGCAGAGACCCAUCGAAAAUCUGACCUGGAUUUACUGUCCCAAGCCCUUAAAUGCAGUGUCUUGUAUGAACUGCGUUAUGAAAUCUGACGUAGUAAUGCUUCGUUCUCAGGAUCGAAAUGGAUCGACCAUCUCACGCUUCCAUGAGCUGGAAUGGCGAUCCUAUGACGAUCUUUUAACCAAGUCAACACUAGAAGGGGAGGAAUACUCAUAGGACCAUGUGAUCCUACUAUGUGUGAAGGCACAAUUGCAACAACAUUGUUUGACAUGUUAAUUACGCCUUUUGAUUCGUUGUUACGUGUUAAGGCACGAUUGUAACAACAUUGUUUGACAUGUUAAUUAUUCCUUUCGAUUCGUUUUGAUUGUGUCUGGAGUCUGGACUGGGAAAUUGGAUUGUUAACUAUGAUCUCUUUAAUUUUGGUGACUGUUAUUUUUGAGCAAUUAUAUAUCUUGUAUAAAUUAUAAAAAAUUUCCUUUUUCUUCUAUAUAUUGUCCGCCUUUCUCUUCAACAAUUCAUGCUCUCAGUUAAACUUUGCAGAAUUUCGUGAGAAAUUAUAAUGUGACCUAAUAUUUUAUGCAUUUAUUGGUAGAGUAGUUUCUCUUCUCUUGCAUAGUAUCUAAGAUUUGAGUUUGAAAGAUACAUCUUUCGUUAUAUAUACCACCGCCAUAUUUAAAUAAUUAUAACAUUUUAUUACAUCAUUUGGAUUGAAGGUUAUUGAUUGCCGAAUUUGUGGUGAUCCGCAUUCAGUUCUUCGUUUUGCUUUUGUCGAGUUUGCUGAUGAACGUAAGUUUUUGUCUUGCAAAUCUUACUCACUUCAGUCUUUUACAUCACCAAAAAACACGUGGGCGCGCACACACACAAACAAUUAUUUUUCAACCUAUUUCAUUAUUUUGAUCAUGGAAUUCAUGUCAACAGAUGGUGCAAGGGCAGCUUUAAACCUUGGUGGUACUGUGCUUGGAUACUAUCCAGUGAGGGUCCUUCCUUCAAAAACUGCUAUCCUUCCUGUGAAUCCUACAUUCCUCCCCAGGGUAUGAAUAUUUUCUGUUCCUUUCUAUACUUGGCUAUAUUUGGAUGGAACAUAAAAUCAAAAUAUUUUGGAAUUCAUAGUUUAAUCCUUUCGUAUAUUGAUUCUCUUAAUCUCUAGAGUAUUUACUGUUUUUUUUUUUGUAACAUGCAGUCGGAUGAUGAGCGGGAAAUGUGUACCAGGACUGUCUAUUGUACAAAUAUUGACAAAAAGGUACAUCGUAUAAUUUUUUUUUCUUCGGGAAUAUACUGUAACAAAUAUUUUUGGUAAAACUACUUUUAGUUUAGGAAUAAUUGUUGACCGCUCAAAUGGUUAAAAAGAUUCAAAGAUUGGUUAGUAAGUAGCACUUAUUGGAUCAAUUAGUCAUUUUAACAUGUUUACCAGAAUAGCAUAAUGCAUCCAUGAAUUAUCGGAGUUACAUGUAUGAUUAUCUGAGUUGAAUUUCUUUAUGAAUUGUUAAAUUUCUCUCAAAUAUCUCAAAAUGCAGAUUUCUCAAGCUGAAGUGAAAAACUUCUUUGAAUCAUCCUGUGGCGAGGUCAGACCUUAAUAAAAUAAUCAUUUCAUGCUAUCAGCUAAAAGUUAUUUAUCUCAAAAGGUAAAUCUUGGUUGACAUUGCAUUUCCAUUUCACAGGUUACGCGCUUGAGGCUUUUGGGGGACCAGGUGCAUUCAACUCGAAUUGCUUUUGUGGAAUUUGCAAUGGUAAGUCUUGAGUAUCUUAGUCAAUGCGCUAUUAAUUGGCUGCAAUGCACUUUCACAAUUUUUAAUAAUAACCGCACCAUAACUUUAACUUUGUUAUUUUUUCUGAAACUGUUAUUCCAUCAUGAUUUUCUUCCUUUCUUAAUUAUCUGUCUCGUAAGACCUAUGCAUCUCGAGGCACACUUUUGUUCCCGGUGGAUUGUUCUUGUAAAGGCACAGACAUAUUUAGUAUUAAUUAGUGUUGUCAAAUUGUGGUUGUAGCGCUAUAGCAUAGCAGAACAAACUGCUAUUGUUUUGCGAUUUGCAAUGUAGUACAAAGUGUUCUCAAAUAGCGGCUAUAGCACACCACAGUGUAGUGAAAUUCAAACAAACUGCUAUUCUCUGUGAUCCACGACUGACAACACUAGUAUUAAUAACUCUCAGAAAGUGUGUUUGCAACGAAUGGUCUUUUCCGAUUAUUUUCCUUAUUGACACGUAGUUGUUAAUUAAGUAGGGGCUCUGUAUUUUGCUGAUUCAAAAAAAAAAAAAAGUAGGGGCUCUGCAAAUCUUGAUGUCUGUCCUCAUCACGUGCAUGAAUCAUUGCAAAUCCAGUCAUUUAAAUAAGUGCAAAUUUAAGUGCGUGGAAUUAUAAAAAUUUGUCUCCUAUUUUGUAAUUUUUUUAAAGAAUUUAGUGAUAUAAUUUCUGAUUUGCUGCUACUGCCAUUAUUAUAUUAACUUUGCACAAGAGAAAUCGAUAUGUUGACUGGCCGUUUAUUUCUUCCUUCUUGAGCAGGCAGAAAGUGCCAUUGUUGCACUAAACUGUAGCGGCAUGCUUUUGGGAACUCAACCUAUCAGGUUUGGUACCAUUACCGGAGGAUGGUUUUUGUUAUAUGCUAGUUUCAAUUCAACAUGAAUUAUAAUUAAUUUGAUCAUAUUUUAUUAUCCUUCGGAUUCUGUAGGGUAAGUCCUUCAAAGACUCCAGUGAGGCCAAGGGUUGCUCGUCCUGUAUCGCGUUAACCGAUCGGACAUUGUCCAACCAUGACUUGAGAGGAUAUUUAGUCAACUUUCCAGUUGAGACUUGUAUGGAAGAGGCAGUGAAACUGCCUUUUGUUUCCGGUUAUUUUCAUCUUGUUAUGUCACAACUGUUGUUACUUUUUUGUUACCUGAGCCUUUAAAUGUUCUGCACUCUAACUUAACUUUCUAGGUACCCCCAGUCUUGGUCUUAAACUAUUUUACUAUGUCAACAUUUAAGUUAUUUAGUUUCAGUUACUUGGUUAUUUGGAGCUAACAUCAAUUAUGCUUUUCACCAGUUUGGAUAUUUAACACCAUUGCGAUCGAAUGUUGUGAUGUGACCCUGUUUAGAUAAACAUUUUAAUUAAGUGAUUAUCGUAUAAGUGCUUACGUAUAUGCUAUUUUUAUAACAAAAGAUAAAUUAAAGUGAAACUGUUUUCACAUAAGAUUAGAUAGGCUAUAACAUGUUUUUGGUCUUUUGGAGAGCUUAUAGAAGUAACCUGAAAACAAUUGAUGGACAUGUCAUAAGUUGUUUCACAAGUUCUCCCAAAUAGUUUCAUAAGUGUUUGUACUUGUCGAAAACACAAGUAAAUCCAAACAAAUGGAUUUGGAUUACUGAAGAUGCAAUACCAUGCAUUCAUUGUACUUAGUUAGUCAUAAUCGUUUGAUCAAUAUCAGACAAUUUGCUUUUGGAUUUGGCAAAUAAGGUGUGAAAGCACCUCGAAAUGUGAACCGUCUUAUAUUUAUCUAAUAGAUCAAUGUAGUCUGGUCUUCAUCUAGCAGUUGAUUAGUAACGAUAUUAGUGUAUAAUGUUUUGACAGUUGAGACUUGAGAGUCCAUUUUUGCAUAUAGUUUAGUGAAGAACUAUGAUUGAGUUGCCUCAAAUUGGAAAGUUAUGUAGGCACAAAUUUGAAAAUGAAAAAGAUAAUCAUAUUUUUAGAUAUUUGGUAGGAUUCCUACCUUAUUAAAGAUUAUUGUUAGGACGAAUAUUUGUACUCGUUUUUGAGAAUAAAUAAAGGGGGUUAACAUUUAUGGAGAGAUUUUAGUGGACCGACCAAUGAAAACACCACUAGUUAUAGAACUAUUGCAUUUUUGCUAAGUAUUUGAGCAAAAGAAUGGAUAAAGGAAAGGUCCCCCAUCUAAAGAAUCUGCAUAAAUAUUCGAACAUAACACCUUUUUAUCAAUUUUUAUUUUAUAAAGAUGUUAAGAAGCAUCAAUCCUUAUCCUUUUGUGAUAUCUAUCUAGGUAUGUGAUAUUCCUUAUGGCAGAGUUGUUCUUUUUUGCUUUGCAUUCUAGCUGGAAUUUAUUCUAAUCUUUCUAUAUGCUUCUUUUUUGAACGUUGGCAAAAUGAAAGAUAAAUGACAUACAUUAAUGUUUUUUUUUACCCUAAAUAUGAAACUAUGAUAUUUGCUUAACCUAUUGUGUAGAAAGAGUUGGAAAUAUGACUCAAAAAAAUAACCUAAAUACCCUGAAAGAAACUACCUAAGUCGUAGAGACAUUCUAAGGCCUCUACCAGAGGUCAAACACCCUAAUUACGGUGAAUAUGCAAAAACUAAAAUAAUUAUUACAUUGAUUGGUAUUUUAACUUCCGCAAACGAAUAUGUUUUACGUAGGUUGAUGAGUUAGAGGUGGUUGUUAUGAAUUGUUUUAGAAAAAAAAUCAUUUUCUUUUAAAUAAUAACUUAUGAGAGUAUUGCAUUCAUUUGUUACAUUUUUUCAAAAAGAAAAUUAGAAUCUAAUAAAAAAACCUAAAAUCUGCUUCAAAUAAAAAGCUGAAAAAAAUAGCUUUUCAAAUUAUUUUUUUUAGAAGAUGAAGAAAAUAAGUAUAAAAAAAUUGAGCUAAUUUUGUAACAAAAAUUUCAUUUUUGUAUAGUUGUAUGAUUUAUAUCUAAAUAAACCACUUUUUUUAAAAAAAAAUAUUUAUUACAAUAAAGAAACACAAAAAAUUCAACUUAUAAUCUCUAAAAAAUAAUUUUUAAAUUAUUGAAUGUCAAAUUAAUUUUUUUUUAUCCAUAACUUCUUGUGAAGUGUUUCCACAUUCUAUGACGGUAACAUAUGCACACAGUUGCAGAACAAACACAUACAUUCAUUUCAAAUGAUGUAAAAUGUCCUUUUUAGGAAUUAUCUAACUACCUUCUGCUUCUUAAGACACUUACCUAUUAGAGUUGGGUACUACUUUGUCCAUGUCACAUUUGAUUACUUGUAUUCAGAAAUGCUGAAUGUUACGUAUGCAAUUCCUACAAAAGCAAUGCAGUGAACUAUUUUAAAUUUGCUAGUACCUUUUUUUCCAUCAUUCCUUUUCUAUUUUACACAUUAUUCCAACUUUUCCGUUCUUUAAUGGCAUACAACACUCGUUCCUUAAGAUCUCUUAAGUCAUGAUGACAAUCUUUCAUAUAGUAGUUUUAACAUAUUGAUGGAUGCGCAAAGGAGAACAAAAUGAAGAACAAGACCUUGAAACAAUCCAAAUCAGACAACAUUCUGGUCGCGCUAUACUUUUUACAAGAGUAUCAAUGUGAUUUUUUCGGGUAUAGUCAUUAUAGAAGUUUUGGUGAGGCAAAAUGAGACAAGGAAUGGAGAUUGUAGUGAGUCAACAAUUGGAAGAAGCACGGGUGUUUAAAUAGUGUUUAAACGUGAGUUCAUGACAAGUUAAAAAGUAAGAUUUUAAUGGGUUCAACAAAUAAACGAGUCAAUGUAUAUGUUUCCCCGUUGUUUGCAGAUAUUGUGAAAAUUAAUAGCAUCGGAAGUUAUCUUCGAAUACCUAAACAAGGGACUAUUUCUGUGUGUUUUUAUUGCAUAAAAUUGUAAGUUCAAAGUUUUCCUGCCUAAUAUUGAACUUGAAGUUCAAAGUUUUCAAACAGAAGUGAGGUGCAAGGAAACAUAAAAUGCUAAAUAUUAAGUGUAUGGAAAGUAAAUGGCUUGAAAAUAAAUGUGCAAAUAUAAUAAAGGGUAGAAAUUAAAGGUGUAACAAAAUUAAAUUGCAGAAAAAGUAAAUGUACAAAACUUCAAAGUGUAGGAAACAUAAAAGACUUGAAAUUUAAAUUCAAACAAAGAAAAGAAAAAAAUGACAUUCUUAAUCAUGUACAUAUAAUAUACGAUUUUAAUGUGUUAAUGCGAUUUCUCAAUGCAUUAAAGCAACCUUUAUUACGGGGCCCAUAUAUCCAUAUUUAUAUGAAAAUAUGAUAAUUUACAUUGACGUGCAUGUUUGCCAAGUGUUAUAGGCAGGAUCGUUCCUAUGAAAUUGGAGACCCGUCUCUAACAUUAUAAAUAGGUAGAUAAUAAAAUAAAAAUAUAAUUUUUUAAAAGAGAAAUCCUCUAUUCAAACUAAAAAUAAGAUCCGUAAAAAUAGGAAAUGAUCAUCAUUGUAACUAACACGGAGAGGAUCAAUAUUGUAAUCAAUAAAAUUAACAUAAUUUUAAUCGAAUAUCUUUAUCAACUUUCUACGUUGUUAUUUUCUUUAGUUUAUACGGAGGAAAAAAAAUAAAGUUUAUAUCCUAGAGAAUGAUUAUAAUGUUCAUUAUUAAAACUUUGUUAUUUGAUACAAUAAGUAUGGGCAAAAAACUAGAAGCAGUGCUCUAACAAAAAGAGGAAAAACAAAGUUAUAUUGUGUUUUUAUUUCUAAAAAAGGAAACUGGUGUUGAGCCAAGGACCCAAGGCAUGCCAAAGCGAACUUAAACCAAUGCGCCAUAUCUAAGAAAUUGAAAAUAUUUUACACCCUAAAAUUUUGAAGGCCCAGUUUUGUAAAGUUUUUUGCACCCACUCAUGACCGAGCUUGGUCAUAGGCUAAUAACCAUCUUCGACACUGUAUAAUUAUGUAUGACUGUUUUUGUUUCGACGUGUGUGACUCUGAAUUAUAACUGUUGUCGAUAAUUUCGUUUGGUGUGUAAGGCUACUUUUUAUUUAUGUGUGAAGUACACAAUCUUUGUCUUUAUUUAUUGCCCCUUUAAAUUUUUUUGCAGCAACACCAAUAUACCUUUUAGGUUAAUACCUUAAUAUUUUGGAAAAAGAAGUGAUAUUAAAUUCUCUCUGUAUCUUGCUCUUAACUUAAUGUGAUGAUAUUUCGGACUCUUCAAGACGAAACAUCAAGCUCGUUAACCACAACCAUGAUCCAUGUGAGUCUAGCAUCUUGAUUAUGAUUAAGUAAAGCAUAUGCUUCAUGGUAGAAGACUUUACGAUCCAACAUCUUCACUUGUGGCCAUUUUUCUUGAAAACACUUGCAGCAUAUACAAAAUAGUUUUAUCUUUUUUUUUUUAAGAACAAAAUAGUCUUCUUUAUCAAGUUAAAAAUUCUUACAUUCGAACUGUACUGCGCCUUUUAAUAAAGGGUGAGUUAUAUUAUUUCCCUUGCUUCUUAAUUAAUUAACUAACUAACAUGUAUUGACAAUUUGACUAAACCAUUUGUGUCAAACAAAGAAAUUGUCCCAACUAGUAUGUCACCUAGCUGUCGUAUGCAUGUCUUCUAGUGUGUUCUAUUUUAAGAAAGAGUAUUUGUUUGUUAUAUAGGCUUCUAUCAUAAAAGCUCUACAGAAUGAUUAAAAUAACUAAUAUAAGUUGAUGUAAUUGGUUCAAUUUUCUAAAAAAAGAAGAAGAUGUAAUUGGUUAAAACAAAAUUUAAAUUAGAUACAUCAAAUUUUUUUAGAUUAAUUUUUAUCAUUUAUUAAUAUUGUUCUCCUUCUCUCUUGUGAGUCAUCGUCAAAACCCUAGUUUCUUCUCAUUCAUCCAUCAAAUUUUGACCCAAAAUCACUCCUCUAACUCGUUUUUUCUAUUUCCCUUUUAUUGAAAUAAGUGAUUUUCACACCUAUUUCGCUUUUUCUUUCGUGAUUUUGUCGUCUUAGUGUGACGUUGUUUUGUUUGUCGUCGUUGUACGACGUUGUUUGUCCUUCUGGUUUCGUUCAAGGAUUUGUUCGAUUCAGAUUGUCAGAUCAACUUCGAUCCAGUGCAGAUCAAAUCAAUGACUUUGGAGUCGUCAACGUUGAAGAUCCGGAGACAUGAGUAUUCCGGAGACUUAAAUAUAUAGUCAUAUGGCUAGACUUUAGUACUUUGCCGUUUUAUACUAUUAACAUGGAUGCUGUGAUAGUUUGUUUACAGAUUAAUCCUUUUUAUUUUUAGCGAAUUUUCAUUGUAACGAUGGAUUUGAAUGACCAAAAAAAAUUUAUUUAUUAAUAUUUUUGCGAAUAGUUAGACUUUCUAUGAGACUAAUCAUCUAGAUCAUCGUCCUUGUGAGUUUAGCUCAGUUGAUAUGGACAAUGCAUAAUAUAUGCAAGGUCCGUGGUUCAAACCCCGACCAAAAAAGAAAAUCAUCUCCAACAUCCAUAUUUUAAUUAGGGAGUUGGACUUCCUCUCAAAUAGUUGAAUCAACUCCGGUUUCUUUUUCCUCGUGUUACAAUUCUUCCAACACCAAAGUGAUUAGACUAUGUGGAAGGGCAUAUUUUAAAUUACAUAACGGUUGCAAUCUCAUAUACUAUUGUUGAAUUAAUUUAUUCAUCAAUGACCAAAAAUAUGGCAUAUGCACUUUACAUGAUUCAAACUAGUGGUCUUAAAAUAAGACAAUAAAGUGCAAGUGAAGAUUUAGACUGGAUCGUUUCAUCUGCUUUAGUCUACGAAUAUAUCAUUUUUAUAUUUUAGUUCCUCUAAUUUUUUUUCUUUCUCCAAACAAUGGUGACACAAAUAUUUUUCAUUAGUAAAUUUGGUCAUCGAUGUUGAAGACUGCACAACCGGUAUUUAUAGAAGCAUUUAAAAGAAAAAUGAUGGACAUAAAACUUAUGUUAGAAUAAGUUUUGGUAGCUAUAAAUAUAUAAUCUUUUAUCUACUAAAAAUUUGUAUAAUCUUUCAUUUUCAGUCCUUCGUACAAUGUCACGUUAAUUUAUUUUAAAACCUAGGAUAGAAUUUGCUCUACAAAAAACUAGGAUUAAAUUUUUCGACGAAAAACAGUGGAAGACUAUUAUUUAAAGAAAACAUUUAAAAAUAUUAAAAUGAAAAAUGAUAUAUUUAUAGCGUUAACAACUUAUCUAACUCUUCAUUUAUAAUUGAAGAGUCCAACUACGAAUUAUAUUUCAUUCUUAAUUUUAAUGCAGCUAUCUACCGUAAAAAUCUUGGCAUUCAACGUACAGUUUUCUUCUUCAAUUCAUUCAAGGAUAUGGAGUUUUCUUCGCACUGAAUAAAUCAAAUAAAAAUAAUAAUUGCAUUGCUGUUGAGACUCAAAAUAUAAUUAUAGAUUCUGAUGAUUUGCUGCCGGACAUAAACAAAUGUCUUUAGAGCACUUGUUAAUGAUUUAAAAGAGGAAAUAAUUUAUAAAUUUUAUAUAGAAAAAAAAUUAAUUUUUAAUGUUUCAAUAUGUUAAAUACAUAUUUUCUAAAAGAAGAUUCUUCUUUGGACUUCUAAACAAAUGCUGCAAGGUAAUUUGUUAAUAUUUCCCUUAUUUUUUAUAUUAAUUUUUUUAACAAAAUUCCUGCCGCUUUGCAUCCAAAUAAUAUUUUUCGUUGAAUUAGGUAACAAAGUAGAUCCUAAACUAUUUCAAAGGAUAAACAAAUAUUGGAUGUGAGACACAUCUACUGACCCAACCCUUCAUUAUAACCAACAAGAAAUUCCGGCAAAGAUAUUAGUGGUCACUGGAUCGAAAUCGAACGGUUUAAAUUUUAAAAUCAUUUUUUUUUUCUUUCUGACAAAUCAAAUAUGAAUCAAAAUUUGGAGCGUUCUGAUUUCAAAUGGUCACUUAGAAUAUCCUUAAUUACCUACUUGAAUGCAUGGUUUGCAGCAGCAUAAAAUUUAAAAGAAUUCUAACGACUUCACUUAAACGUACUUAAAAUACGUUUAUAUUAAAAUGUUUUGUAAUUAUUGCAUUCGCAAAAGUAACGGUGUAUUUCCAAGACAAAAUUUUGUAUAAUAGAAUCCAUAAAAAAUGUUAUUAGGGCAUUCAUUAUCAAGACCCAAAAUUGAAAUCGAAAUACAAUAUCCCUAGCCAUAAAGAACCAGGAAGGUAUUGAGUGUGUCCCUGUCCCAAAUGUCCUGGCAAAUUGCUUAAAUUGACAAAUACUCUCUUAACAACUACAAUUGAAAUCUUCUAGUCCCAUACAAAAAAAUGGUAACUUUCCUCUAAUUUCCAUAAACAAUAACGGUCAAUUUUUGUGUUCUAGAAUAGAUAUCUCUGACCUUUGUCACUAGUCAAAUCUACCCCACCCAUAUAUUAAUAUAAAUUCAAAUAUAUAAAUAUAAAAGAUUAGAAAAGGCCAACACAUGAAACACAAUAAAUACACAAAUCCACUAGAAUACCAAUACAUAGCCAAAUUACAACUUUUCUUCCUAUAUACCCAAUUAAGCCAUUCUAGACAAAAAUCACCUUUUUCUUCUGUUCUUAUAUAGAAAUAAUUUUCUUCCUAUGUCAAGUGGUGGAUGUAGUAGGAACCCUGUGAAGAUUGUGAUCAUCAACACACAAUAUGUAGAAACUGAUGCUACAAGUUUCAAAUCUGUUGUCCAGAAACUGACUGGUAAAGAUUCUGAUGCAGAAGGUGAAAAGGUUCAGAGGAAGAAGAAUAAUCAAAGUGAUGUGUCAUUUAAGGAGUUUGAUAUGCUUCUUAAUGAGAUGCCACUUAUAAAUGACUUUUGGUCUGAUACCAUGAUUAAUUGAAACUAACUUAAUUAAUUUUCAUUAUUGUAUAAUAAUAUGUUUGUAUUUGAUUAUUUGAUUUGAUAUAUACACUUCAUUUUCAAUGUAUUUUUCUUUUACCCGUAUGUUACAAUACAUUCACGUGUGUUGUUGCUUCUUUACUGUUUUUUUAACACAUUAUUGCUAUAUUGAUUAGCACUAUUGGUUAUUUUGUAUAUCAGUUUUGCUAAUUAAUAUAAUUAUAGUUUAGGUAAUGGAUUUUUUAUAUGUGAUGACAAUUUUAGUUUUUGAGUUAGCAAAUUUACAUAAUGACAAUUUAUAUAAGAGGGGGUAUAUAAUGAUUAAGAUUAUUGGAGAGGAAAGGUGACAUGUUGGUUUGAGGGGAAAGACAUAUGACAUACCCAUUGUUGGAGUGAUAAGAAUGUUAGAAGAGAUGAGAGAACUUUGAAGAUAAAAGGAGGAGAAAAGGGAAAGAGAAAAUAGAGUAGUUGUGUCAAAUGCAUCUACAUGUCCUUUAAGUUUUUUGUUUUUUCUAAAGUGUUCCUUUAAGUUUCAAAAGUCUCAAACAAGUCCUUUAAAUUUCAAAAGUCUCAAACAAAUCCUUUUAGUUUUUGAAUCGUUUCAAACAAAUCCUUUUAGAGGAUGAUGGUGAUGAUUCAGAUGAUAGCAACAAAGAGCAUUAUCCACCAUUUGUCAUGCCUAAAAAGAUGACUAAUUUUAAAUGGAUCUUAGGAGUCAGAUUUGGUACCAAAGAUGAGUUCAAGGAAGCAAUUAUCAACUAUGCUAUCGACAAUAGGACUUGUUUGAAACAAUUCAAAAACUAAAAGGAUUUGUUUGGGCCUUUUGAAAUUUAAAGGACCACUUUGAAAAAAACGAAAAACUUAAAGGAUCUUUAUAUGCAUUUGACCAAAAAAGAAAGUAGAUUAGUUUACUCAGAACACUUCAAUUUAGAGGAACUCAAAUAUUGAAGAUAUAAUUAGCUAAUAAUUAUGACUAUUUUUUUUAGGGGGAUAUAAUUAUGAGUAACGAGGUAUUCAACCGGUACGUUACACAAGUUUGAUUAUAAUACUUACUUACAAUAUUUUUAUAAAUGAUAAAAUAAACAUUGUCAUAAGUAUAAUCACAUACAAUUCAAUGAUUGAUAAAAUUUCUAAGCGUUAAUAUUAAUUUAUAUUAAAGCAGGAGUGUUUUUUAAUGAAAAGCAGGAGUGUUGUUAAAAAUUAAAAUAGAAUAAGAACAUUUAAUAUAGAUUGUGGCAGAUCCUAUAAUAGUUUCUAAGUUUGAAGACUCCCAAUUAUAUUUUAUAUAAUAGUGCAAUAGUAUAAGAACAUUUAUUUUUUGGGAUCACAAUGGUCCAAUAAUAGGCUGCUUUAUUUUUUACUUUGAUAUCUCUUAUUCUUUUCCAUCAAAGAUAUAGACGUUGAUGUUUGUUAUCAAUAUUGCUUUUAAGAGAUAUGUCUUUUUUCAUCUUUUGAUUAACUUGUGAAAAUAAAAGCCUAUUCUUUUCUCCUAACUUUCAUAAAAAAUUAUCGUAUCCUUAUUAGAAGAAAAUAAUAGAAGUAUGAAAGUAAAUAAUAAAGAAAGUUAGAAACGUAAACCAACAAACAUUGUAUCAAUAAAAGAAAAGCAUGUAUAUAAUAUUUAGUUAAUCUUAGAGUAACUUGAGUCUCUAUUAUGUCAUAUAAAUCAAUGAAUAAUCAAAAGAUGGAGAGUAAAAAAGAUAGGGAAAACUACAAUACAAAAUUGAAGAGGUACCACUUAAGAGUUGCUUUGAGAAAAUGUUGGAAAAACCCUAAAUUUGUACAUCAAUCAUUUAGCACUUAUGUACAAAAUUACAUAUACACAAUGGUCUUCAGAUGAAAAAAAUUGUAAAUCCUCUUUACGGAAUAAAAUAAAAUACAAAGAAAGUUGGAGAUGUAGACUAAGAAACUUGAUAUCAAAUAAAAAAAAGUAGUGCUCAAAUAUUUGACCAAUCUAAGAGUAACUUGAGUGGAGACUAAUUUUGAUACCUAGGUUUGAAGUGGAGACUAAAAUUUUGUGAAACUUGACAAAAAAAUUUACCCCGCAUUUGCAGCGAGAAACUUAGGUUGGAGAUUAUAAAUGUCAGAAAAUGAAAACGGAGAUAGAAAUGUGGAAGAUAUUUAAAAAAUAUUUCUUGCAAAUGGUAGGAUAUAGUGAGGGAAAACAUGAAAAAUUUGGUGAAUGAGUUCAUCCGUAACAAAUGGUGAAUAUAUAAUUUUUUAUAUGAAAAAAGUGAACUGAAGAGCAAACAAUAACAAAUGUAAGAGUAAUGAUACAUGUACCAUCAUAUGUGGCAAUAUACCCUUUACACUCUUUACAUUUGUAAUUGUGUUUAUUAUUCACAAAAAUGUAACUGAUAAAUUAUAAUAAAAUAUUGAACUUAUAGUCUAAUAAAGUAAUAAGAAUGUAACCGAUAAUGAGUAGAUAUUGUAUUAAUAAUGCAAUACACUGGCCUAGGUAGUCUUGUACCAACAUCAAUCUCAUUUGAUCUGAGUAAAUAUAAAAUUGAGACGGUUUUAAAAUUCACUUGUUCCGUUAGUAAUAACAACAAUCUAAUUAAAAGACACAUUUUACUUCCUUCCAAAUGCUCGAUGCGGUACGAUGGAGGAUGCAAAACACUUAUUCCUUUCUUGUGAUUUUUUUGGUAAACUUUGGUACGGUAUUUCUCAUUGGCUUAGUUACCACAUAGUGUUUCCUGAACAUGUGCCAGACCAUUUAUAUCAAUUUGGCAUCUUAGGAGGCUUCUCAAAAAACAACCGCUCCGCUUUUCAUCUUAUAUGGUUAUUUUGUGUGUGAGUGAUUUGGCUUGAAAGGAAUGCUCGGGUUUUUCACCAAACAAAAGCUUCGAUUAAUCAAUUGACAGAUAAACGUCCUAGUUUUGUUUUCUCCUAUCAUUCUUGGUGGUUAAAUCUUUUAAAUUGCUUGGGAAUUAUUAUGUAACAGGGUAGCUAUCUUUUUUGGGUUUUCCCGUUUUUGUUUCCCAUUUGUUUUUGAUUGUAUUUGAUACUCUUUCAGUUGGGUUUUCAACACUCUUUGUACUGAAAUCUCCAGACUUUCAAUAAUAUAUUUCAUUUUAACUUCUUAAAAAAAAUUCUAAUAAUAUAACUUUAGAAAGUAUUAUUACUAUUAUUUUUUAUUUUUUGAGAGUCGAAAGCAAUAUAUUAUGCAACAUGCAUUAAGUGAAGUUAAUGAAGGGUUUGAAACAUUAUCACUAUUUUUGUUUAGGAGUUAGUAUAUAAUUAGAUUUUAAAUUCAUAUUGGGGAGGUUUUGUAACUCAUGAAUUUGAAAGAAUUAGAAUUUAAAGUGUGAAAUUUCUUAGGAAGAGUAAGGAGAUUUUUUAGAGGUGCCACAUAAGCACAAUUCUAACAUUAAAAUGAGUCAAAUUUAGAAUUGAGAAGCUUUUCUAGAUGUGCCAAGUAUUAGAAUGAAGCAAGUUUCAAAUUCAAAUAUAUAUAUAUAUAUAUAUAUAUAUAUAUAGAUAGGUAGAUUGUUACCGGUUUGUGGAUUCCUAUUAAUACACAUUAUUAUUUCUCAUCUUAUGUUUAAAUAUACACUCUUAUCCACCUUUUAUUUAAAGGGAAAUGUUAACUAAUGCAUCCGGAGCACUACUUAAGAAAUUUAAAAAGGAAAUAUUUUCUAGGAAAUUGUGUAUUUUACUUUUUAAAAUUUAAAAAAGUGUUCAUUUCAAUGCUGACACUGUUUUUUCUUUCUAGGGGUACUGAUUAACAUGAUCCUUCUUUAAAUCAUAUUAAAAAAAUCCACACUCUCAUUGAUAAAGCUUGAAUUGCUUUACACUCCCUUUCAUAUUAAAAUAUACUUUUUGUUUUUAUCAAGUAGUCUAAUGAUUAUAAUUUUUUUUUGGUAGAUAAACGAAAUGACAAAGUCAUUGUAAACUCACACACAUAAGUGAAGGUACCGGGAUUCGAACCCCAAUUAUGAUAUCCAACCUAAUAAUUUCGACAUUUUUCCAGUUGAGCUAGGACUUCUGGAUUAAUGAUUAUAAUUUUACCUCAUAAAAUAAAUAAGUGGAGAAUUAUAUUCUGGGUCUAUUAUAACAAUUUAACACACAAGUGUGAAGGAAAAUGAUGUUGUAGGUCCAUUUUAAUGUAAUCAAUAUUUAAAUACAUAUUUUUUUCUAUAUUUUUAGUUCACAAUAUCAUUACCAUAUAAUUUUAAAUACUUUUAUAAAAUAUGUAGCAACAAAAAAUAAAACAAUAAAAUAUGGCUAUUUAAAAAUGAACUUAUAUUCUAAAAUUCAAACUUAAUAAUAAAUUUUAAUGUAAUCUUUUAUAUUAUUUUUCUCUGUAAUAGGUUUCAGGUAAAUAGCUUUAGGCACGCCUCUAAGAUAGGAACCCAAAGGUAGAUGGAUGGUAAAGGUUCCAAUGCCAAAUCCUAAGAGAUGAGUAAUGUGGUUGAGUGUUUGUUGGGUGAUGAUUAUUCCUGCGUAGAUUGUUGAUUAGAGAGGAUAAUUGAUAACUUGGCUAGAGAUUACUGCUUAUCUAUCGAACCAGGGGCUACUGCUUAUCUAUGGAAAAAUUAAUUUAAAACUUCAAUAUUAGAGAGUUGUCUUUUGCAAAAAGUCAUGACAUCAACUACAUAAAGAGUGUGAGAGGGGAAAGACACUUUUCUAGUUCCCUUGAUGAUAACAAGCUUGCCUGCUUCAACUAGUUUUUCAUUCCUCCUUCUUGAUGAUGUCUACCAUUAAUAGAAAUAAAAGAAUUUAAAAUAGUUUCAACUAAUGGCAAAACUUGGUGUUGAAGCUAAAUUUUUGAAAACCCUAAGCAAGAAACUCCAUUCCGGGGUCAAAUGCUUUGGCUAUAUCAAGUUUUAAUGCUAGAUUACCUGCAAAAGAUUUAUUAUGUAGCAAGAUAACUGCUUAUGAGGUUAGAAAAUUACAAUCUUUGACUUGUCUUACAUGAAUGAAACGUCUUUGAACAUAAGAGAUAACAUAUUCCGCGUAAGCAUUAACUUAGUACUGGAUACAUUAAAAUUACAACAAAAUUCCGACCGAAUGAAUAUAAACAUCAAUGCAAAUUCGUACAUCUGAUAGCUUGAUACAUCUUCAAAUACAUAUAUUUGAAAUCAUAAGAGUUCAUCUAAACUAGUACGACAUGCAUAUGAUGAUAAGUCAUUCAACCUUUUGUAUUGUCUUCCCUUGCCAAGAACAACCUACUGAUUUGAAAUAAAAUAAAAGGGAUUGAGACGGGAUAUCUCAGUGAGUUCCACCUAUUUUAGGUUGUAGGCAAUCUCAGGGAACCUAUGAUCGCCAUCUGUUUGUACAUAUACCUAAUUAUAGAUUUAUUGUUCUUUUCUGUAUAACUUAACGGGGGAAAAUAUAGGAUCACUAAUUGUAUUCUAUCAUGAGUCUUGUCAUAAUCUUAACCAUAUUUCAUUCUCUAUCAACAAUUUGUUCUUCGAGUGUGACUUUUUUUUGGUAAUAUCUGGUCUGCUUUUCUUAUGUGGUUGAAUAUUUCUUGUCAUUUACUAAAUAAACCUUUUGUGCAUGCUCUUCGACCUCGAGGUUCUCAUUUGCUCCAUAAAGAGAUUAGUCAUUGCUUGCAGUUUAUUUGGUUGGCGUGUAGCUUGGUUUAUUUGGAAAGAAAAAACUAUCGUAUCUAUGGAGAAAAGAUAUUGUCUAGGAUGCAAGAUGCAAUUGAUAUACAAAAUAAAAAAUCUUGUUUGGUGGUCGCAAAACACCAAGAAGGUGGAUUUUACUUUUGAUUUUAAUUUGUGGUGGAUUAACCCACUAAAUUGUCUUGGUUAUUCCAAGAUCUGGUUUAGUUCGUGGUGCGUCAAGUUUGUAUUAUAAACUUUCAUAAUUUUUUUCAUUCUUGACACAUCUUGUACUUGAUCAAAUUUUUAAUAUAUUAUUUAUUUGGUUUCUUCAAAGAAAACAAAUCAUCUGAGUUUUAUCGUAAGAAAUCAUAUAUUUUUAAAAAGUGAGAUAAUUAAUAUUCAUUUUCUGACACCAAUAUAGAAAUAAUGUAGGAGGGGGUGUAAAUGUAAUAAAUUGGACUGUGUUUGUGGUCACUUGGAGGGAUUGUUGAACAUUAGUUUGGGGUUUUAUAGUGGUAUAGAUGUUUUUGUAUAACAAAAAAAAAAAUAUAUCAAUGUGAAUAUAAGUGUUUUUUUUUUGAGAAACUGUGAAAGAGCAACCUACUUUUGUCUCCCCCCUUGAAUAAAAUUCUAUUUUAUUGAUUUCUGAAGUCAAAUUUAGUGACUCAUCUUUUUGGAUUUUUGCCUUUCAAGAACUUCCCAUUAAUUAGUGAUGCAUCUCUAAAUGCCUACCUCAUGCCAAACAGGGUAAACAUGGUACGAUCCCUUAAUUAGGCUAUCACAAGAAUAAGUAAAUAAGAGAUUCCUUCUUUCCAAUGUGGUAUUAUAUUACAACUUUUACAUUAACAUCAAACUUAAUGGAAUCUUUGGUUUAGGGAAAAACACAAAAGUACGCGGUCCAAUAAAUUAAAAUUAUGCAUAUACCUACAAAUUAGUUGUCUUAUUAUAGUGGUAUUAUUUGUUCCCCUAAAAUCAAAAGUUGUAUUAUUUGUUACUUUAAAAUAUCAAUAAAAGGUUAAUUACAUUUCCUCAAAAAAAGAUAUUAAUUAUAUUUUUCAAACAUUAUUUACUACAUCUCAAUAUAUUUAAGUAUUCAAUUCAGACGUGGAAAAACAAGCAAAGAACAUUGUAAUUGACUUUAAGUCGUUAAUGAACUUCUUCAAAUGGCGAAUUGUUCAGGAGAGGCUCAGUUUGAUUUUUAUGUAGAACAGUUCUUGUUCUGGACCGGCCAGAAGACCAACUGCACGUUGACACGUGGAAUAAAAUACACCGUCUUAAGGCUCCGCACUCAAAAGAGCACGCCAGCUUGCGUGCACCGUGCCACACGGGAGCGCGCUCUCGCGCUAGGAUCACCCUACACGUGUCCUGCUCCGUCCCUAAUCAUACGCCACAUGUAAUAGCCCGUUUUUAGAUAGAAUUAUUUUAUUUAUUAUUUGUGUUUAUAUGUUCUUAAUUGUCUUUGUGUGUAUUUAAUUUGGGAUUAGUGGAUUUUUGGUCUAGAAAGGUGUUUUAGUGAUUUUGGCGGCCAGGGAUAAUUUGGUCAUUUGACGAGUAAGGGUAAAUUAGUAAUUUCAUUUGAGUAAUUUUUAGCAUUUUUGUGAGAAUAGUUAUUUUUACUAAGUUACUAGUGAGUUGGGGUAAUUAUUUAGAGAUAGUAAUUAUUUGAUGUUUUAACGGAUUAAUGAGUAGUAACUUUUUUGAAUUUGUUAGUAAGAGUUUUAGGCUCAUUGUGAAUAUUAGAAACAUAGCCCAAUGGAGAAUGGUAUAUACUAUAUAUACUUAACUCAUGAAGGAAAAUUAGGGUUAGAACAUUUCAUCUCAUAAAAAGGGAGGCUAGAGAGAGAAAGUGGGAAGAAUAGAGAGAAGAAGAGAAGAGGAAGAACUUACACUACAAGAAAUAUGUUAAUUAGCCAAACGCAGAAAGCCUUGGUAAAUGGACGUUUGUAGAAGUUUUGCCGGGAGAACAAUCCCCAACAAUUCAGGUCAUCGGAAAUGACCAUGUCAGGGCUUUAGCUCCUGGCAAAUUGUGUGGGGUACAUUCCCUGGCAACUUUUCUGACGCAUGCAGACUGUCCUGACCCACUUUUCAGACUGUCUUCCACAACUUUUCAUAGAUCAAAUCAAACACUGACAGGAGAUUUGCGAGGGGUUAACCCCUGACAAAAUGCGUACAAUUUAAAAAUAAAAAUAAAAGUAGUUAAAUUGUUUAAAAAAUCAAAAUUUAAUAAUUAAAAUAAUUUUAAAAAACAUUUAAUUUUUUUUUGAAAAAUAAUUAAAUUUAAUUAUUAAAAUAAUUUUAAUAAACAUUUUUAAAUUGUUUUUUUUUAUUUCUUUGUUUUAAAAUUGUUUUAAUAAUAAAAUUCAUUUAAAUUAUUUUUAAAAAACGUUUUUAAAUUUUUUUUUUUAAUUUAAUUGUUUUAGAAAAAGUAGUUAACAAUGCAAAUUAAAGUAAUAGUUCACAUAAUACAAGCACAUUUAAUACACGGAUAAAUUUGCAAAUUAAACAUCACUUUGAUCAAAAACAACUUAACAUAAUAUUCUUUAAAAAUUAAACACAAGCUUUCUAAUUCAUAAAUUACUAAAAUCAUCUGAAUUUGGCAUAUUUAAAAUCAUCAAUCAAACAAACACAACACGCUUAAUUUGAUGGCUUCUUCAAAAAUCAGAAAAUAACAAAUGCUUUAGUGUACUUUAGUUUCAUAAAAAAGUUAAUUCAUUAAUUCAUUUCAUAAAAAAGUUCACUUUAAAAUCAGAAAAAUCUGUGACAUUGAGCCACUGUGGUGCAUCAAACAUUACAUAGAUUAAGCAGGUAACAUUCGAAGACUCAGGUUGAUAACAGAAAUAAAAUUAAAUUAUAGCAAACAAUUUAACAAUACAUGACCAAACCAGUAAGGUUACUCAAACAAAACAACCCACAGAACAAGUUUCGUAUUAAGAUUAAAUUGGAAAUUCAAAGAAAUAAAAUUGUCCUAACACUACCAUUGCAUGGUAUAGAAAGUAUCUGAACAUGAUAUCAUUGUAGAUUUGUAGUAUAGUAUUUAGUUCUAAUUUCCACCUGUUAUAUGAACACAAAUCAAGCAGCUCUUUCAUUUGAAAAUCACUAGUGAAUCAAGUUGUCUGGUCUAACCACAAAUUAAUAACGCAUAAACACACCUUUAGAGCACCAAAUAGUAGCAGCAAAUACCAUCAAAAAAACCUAGUAGCCAUGCUAAGUUUAAAAUUGAAAUUAACCACAUGUUGUAUUGUUUAAUUUGAAUCGCUUAACUUGAAUGGUAAAUUAAGAUUCAACAUCGCAAUGCAUAAAAUCAAACAAAAGUAUCAGAAUCUUACGGAAAAUCCCGAAGCAGAUGAGUUAUUCCUUGUUAUAACCUUAACACAUGAAUAUCAUACUUCACGUAACUGAAUCAGAAGGAAAAAAAACACAAAUGUGAGGAUUCCAUUGAAAAUUGAAAAGAAAAAAAAAAAAUUAUAAAAGAAGAGAUUUAUAACCUUAAAAAAGAUUUACAGCCCCUCCAACUUCACUCACAAUAGUUGCAAUUGCACCAUUAGCCAACUUUCCAGUGUUGUCCUGUAACAGCAUUCAAUUCUAUAUAGAAUAAUCAUGAACAGUUUUUCUUAAAUUUAAUCUCUAAUAUCCAAGUAAGAUUGUAUGACCUCUCACACCCUUAACUAAUAAAGAAUUUGCAUGCUUUACUCCUAGAAAAAUCAAUAGUUGUGUUAUGUUAGAUCAUCAACCAGUAACAAAACAAAAGAUUAAAGAAAAUCCAAAUCAAAAACAAUCAAACAAAAUUCAACAAAAAUCAUAACAAGGCAUCAAGAACAUCAAAUAAAACUUAACAAAACUUAUGAUUAAAAUGAAUCAUAAACACAAAAACCUUGUGAGCAAACAAUCCAAACAACAUUCAACAAAAAUCGCAUGAAUCUCCUUUCUAUUUCAAAUAAUUUUUUUAUUCUUUAUAAACAAAUACGGCAAAACCCAAUUUCUCUGAUUCGUGCUUCAUAGUUAUUUUAUUGAGAAGGUUUACAGUUUGCAAAUCCACGAGAUACGUAUUCCUCUAGAUACACAAAUCCAAGAGUACAUGAAAGUGAAACACAACCCAUCAACUGGAGGAAAAAAGCAUCAAAGGCUAAUUUGAAACUUAAAAAGUCUUACCACAGAGCAAAAAAGCCACCAAAACUAACUAAUAGAAACACAUCCUAUAAAUAUCACUCAUAAAAAUAUACAUGUCAUUUGUAACACCCAUACUAAAUUGUCUAGAAUAUUUAGUAUGUGUAUUAAACAUUAGUACUGGAUACAUUAAAAUUUACAACAUAAACUUGUCCAAAUAAAUACAUUUCUAAUACAAGUUCGUACAUCCAAUAACAUACAGCAUCUGAAAAAUAUACAUCUAGUACAAAUCAUGUAUAUACAAAAAAAAAAUCAUCCGGCUUCCUUCUGUUGAUAUCUGGCAUGAACCUUUAUGCUUACGCACAACAUGCUUAUCUGAAAAUAAGAUAAAGGGAUUGGGGUGAGACAGGAUGUCUCAGUGAGUUCCACAUAUCCUAGGUUGUAGGCGAUCUCGGGGAAUCUAUGAUCACCAUCUGUCUCUACAUAUAUCUGAUUUUAGGAUUUACUGUGUUGUUCUGCAUAUCUUAGCGAUCGGGGGAAAUUCUAAGAUCACUAAUAGUAUACUGUCAUAAUUUCUAUCUUAAUUAUAUUCAUAUCAUAUUUCAUAAUUAAGUCAAAAAGUUAGCGUUGAACAAACAAUUAUUAUCUAAGUUCAUUUUACGGAAUGGAUCCGAGUGGAGUAACCCCGAAUACAUGAUCGCUAUGAUAAACCGGCUAAAUUCUUAUCUGAGGCUAGAGCCGGACUCCUCUUGUCGUCGUGCAGGUUCCCUUUCGGGCUGGACCUAUCCAGAAUAAUCUGGAGCUUUUCUGAGCCACAACUUAACUGAUUAUAAUUAUCUGAACAUAAUUUUAGUAACAUAUAUCUGAAAUGUCUCUGAUCAUAAGUGUAAGUAUAUCUGAUUCAUAACUGAGUUUAUUUUCUACAUUGUAUAACCUAUUUGUUCAGGUUCUGAUCAUGUGGUACUCAUAUAUCACUCCCAAGAUUAAACAGUCAUACAUAUAUAUCUGUAUAGUUCUGUGACAUAUAUCUUACAUGUCUCUGUAAUAAUUUCUGAUUAAUUCUCUAUUUGAUGCUUAAUAAUAAGCUAGUCAUAUUUAUAAAUUAAGUCUCACAUGAAUGUAUAUAAUGUUACUCGUUUGCUUAACUUGGUUUGCCUUAAAAAUAAUUGUUCGGGGUUAGGGGCAAGUCCGUACUCAUUUCACAAAAGGUUGGAACAAGUGAAUCGGGCUAAAAAGCAAAUUUUUAAGUUUUCAGCACUGUGUAAUCGAUUACAUAGGGGGUGUAAUCGAUUACACAUUACUUCUGCCGCUUCAGAAAUAAAUUUUAAAACAAUGUAUGGCAGAAUCCAGAAAGAACAGCUUCCAAAAGUGCUUUUCAAUUUUCUUUCCAAUUUCACAUGCCAACUUGCCUCUAGCCUAGAGGACUCAGAAAACAUAUUCAACAAGCAUGGCAAUCCAAAUUAAACAUCACAAGAACACUUAUACAUAACAGCUCUAAAACCACUCUUUCUCUAAGCAAACAGCAUGUACAAACAUUACCAUUUCAAUCCUUGCACCAAAAGUUUGUUUUUGCCCAUUUAAGCACUUCUGGUUCCUUCCAAAACAACUUAAUCACCAUUUUAAGCUUGUAUUAUGGCUUAAAAGUGGUACAGAUCAUGGUGGGGAUAAUUGCAUGUGAGAUUGGGGGCAUGAAUGAUAUGAAAAAUUGAGGGAAGGGUGGAAGGAAGGGGAACACGUGAAGGAGAGUAAUCAGAAGAGGAGAUGAUAAAUGAAUGAAGGCAAUGGAAACAUGCUUAUAUACUUGUGUUUUGAGAAGUCUCAAAUGCACCAAGGUAAAUCUAUAGAUAAAUAUCCAAUUUUCCAUGCCGCAUGGUUGUUAAAUUUUGCAUUUUUCACCCGUUGUCUUACCAUUUGCACUGCACCAAGGUAAAUCUAUAGAUAAAUGAAAGAUAAAAAACAUUAAUAAUAAGAAAAAGGAAAAUGAUUAAAUGCACGACACAACUGUCGUGUGAAUCCUGCGACUGACCUGGCAUCUUGAUGGAGCCACUCUCUUAAAUUCUAUUUCAUACAAAAUGCCCAAUUUGACCUUAGAUCUUUUUGGCUAGAUCGUUUUGGCUGCAACUAUGUGAAUCGGUGCAAAGACAAGGGGAGUAAAUCAAUCAUGUAACUACUUGUUUACUUUUUUUUUAUAUAAAAAUCAAGUGUGAUUUGAUGAUUUCAAUCUUAUAACGAAAUGAAACUUGCUGCAAAGUUCAUAUAUGAAUGAGGUUAUGGAGAAGUGGUUGUAUGGCGUCUCUCUGUUCGUUAGAUUUGAAGGCAAACAAUUGCGGCAAUGAAAACAAGGAAUACAGCAAGAUCAGUGGAAGUAACGGUAGAGAUGAGUUGCAAGAUGUCGAUUAAAAUCUACAAAGUUCAUACAGAAUAUGUGAUCAUGACAGCAAAUGUGUUAUUUUCUCUUUUGCACUGAUAUUUCACUUUUGUAUUGUUUAUUUUAAAUAACUGGAUUUAAUAAAAAAAAAAUAAAUGACCAAUAGAAAUGGAGAGUGCACGUGAGGGAGGUGACGUCGUGCGUUUCGUCGCUGCUAUAUGUCGCACCAUAUAGCAGUUCUCUAAGAAAAAAGAUAGCGUAAUGUAGUGAAUUGAUAGCACUACUAGAAAAAGCAAAAUUAGGAAGGGAAAUUUGUGACGGAAAACAUAAAAUUCCUCACAAAUUUCUUGGUCGCAAAAUUUAGUGACGGAAUUAGGGAGGGAUUUCAUGUUUUCCCUCACUAAAUUUUCCUCACUAAUUUUUGUUUUUUUAGUAGUGUAGAGAGAAAAUGGUUUAUGUACCCUAGAAACAUCAAGAAGAGUGAAAGAAGAGCGAGAAAAAUGAUCUUUUGAUUUCUCAUUAUGUUUAACUUGAAAUUGAUUGCACAACCUUGUAUGGUAUGAGCAGGUGUGUGUGUGUCUAUAGAUCAGAGUGGGAGAAUAUUUUUAGUGUCAAAAGGUUAAAUGACAAAUAAAUUGAACAGUUAUCGUGAUAUAUAUAUAUUUGGAUAUAUCGAAAAUAUAUUUUGCUUACUUAUAUUCCCAAUCAAAUCAUAGUAUGAUACCACUAUUUUUGGAUAAGGUACUAAAAUAACUCUAAAUCAAUUACUAUGAGUUAUAUGAAUGGAUCAUGUGUAAAAAUGUUUUACAUCACCACCUGGGUAUAUAUGAAAUUAAUCUCAAUAAAUAACUAAACUGAAAUUCUUACUCAAAAUAACGAAGCAAGUAAAUAGUUAAAAAUCAAAGUACAAGAUUCAAUGACGAUAUUUAAUUAUGAAGAUGUUGGAGAUACCUAUAUAUUAAAUGAGAAACAUGGAGGGACAAAAAGGUUUUUGUUGAAAUUAUGAAAAUUAUUAUAUCGACUAGCGUUCAUUAGAGCACUUCGUGCUCGUCUGUCAGUUCUUUUUAUUGCAUUAUUGCGUAUAAAUAACGAACAAAUUUUUUUAUGAAAUUUUGAUUUUGAUUCAAUGAGUUUGUUUUUGAUUAAAAGUAUAUGUAUUGGAUAUUUUAGUUUUUCAUAUUGCAACAAACUAUACUUAUCUUUUUCAAUGAUACCAACAAUAUAACAAAUAUCUUUUCUAAAAUGAAAACCAUAUAACAAAUGUAAUAUAUAUUCUUACCUUAUUGAAUGAGAUAAAAAAUAUAACAUUAUUAUAGGCAAAUUUAUUUAAGGGUAAAAUUGGAAGUGAAAAAGCCAACCCAAACCAUGUAUUCUCAUUAUAUAUAGUAUAUAUGAAAAGAAAGGGACACAUUUUCGCGUUUAUUAUUCGUUUGUUUUACAUGUUAGUAUCCACAUCAAUACCUCGUGAUUGUAUUGUGGCUAGUUGGCUAGAAUCGAUCUUGAGUUUGUUGUUGUUUUUCAUAAUAAAUUGUGGCGUCUAGGUUUGUUAUCGUAUUCAUGGUGGAAUCCAGCCGUCUUUCUCAAAAUUUGGGGUCCAGUUUUCAUCAAUCCACACACUUCUUUUUUUCCUUCAAUUUGAUUUCAUGUUCGUACGCGGAUUUAUUGGAUUGUAUGGUAGUGUUUGCUUGAAUGCUUCAAAUAGUGAUUUGUCGUUUCUUACCCUUUAGGGUUAUUUGUGUUACUCGUUCCGACUCUCUCUUUUUUGCUUAUUGUAUCAGGUUUUCUUUUCCUCGGUUUUAUGUACUUUUUAAUUUAAUCUAUCGCAUAUCCAUCUAAGUCAUAUUUGGUCAAACAAAUAUAAGGAACGAAAGAGAGAAUAUUAUGGAAUAUAUUAUCACCAUCGAAAUCUCUUUAUUAACGUGGAGGCUCUUCUCUGUUGUGAACCCGACUAUAGAUAAUUUGACUUGCAGAAGUAUUUCAAAUUAUGAAUUUUUGUUAUGCUCAUGUGGUUGUUGUAAAUAAGAAAUGGUCAACAAUUUGUUCUUCCAGUGUAACUUUUUUGGUAAUAUCUGGUCUGCUCUUCUUGAGUGGUUGAAUAUUUCUUGCCAUUUACUAAAUAAACCUUUUGUGCAUGCUCUUAGACCCCGUGGUUCUCAUUUCCUCCAUAAAGAGAUUAGUCAUUGCUUGCAGUUUAUUUGUUUGGCGUGUAUCUUGAUUUAUUUAGAAAGAAAAAACUAUAGUCUCCAUGGAGAAAAGAUAUUAUCUAAGAUGCAAGAUGCAAUUGAUAGACAAAAUAAAAUAUCUUGUUUGGUGGUAGCAAACCACCAAGAAGGUGGAUUUUACUUUUGAUUUUAAUUUAUGGUUGAUUAACCCACUAACUUGUCUUGGUUAUUCCAAGAUCUGGUUUAGUUUGUGGUGCGUCUAGUUUGUAUUAUAAACUUUUUUAAUUUUUUCAUUCUUGACAGAUCUUGUACUUGAACGAAUUUUUAAUAUAUUAUUUAUUUGGUUUCUUCAAAGAAAACAAAUCAUCUGAGUUUUAUCGUAAGAAAUCAUAUAUUUUUCAUCAUAUCGUUAUUGAGUACAUAUCACCUUUGUAAUUUAUUUCUCAACAUGGAUUUAUACAUAAAAAUUAAACUAUGAAAGAGAAUUGAAGACACGGGUCCUCCAGCCAACGCAUUUGCAAACUCCAUUAGGAGGAUCACAAUAAGCUGAAUACCCUCCACUUGCAUCACAUAAUCCCUGACAUUGUGCAUUGCAAUUUUUCAUGCCGCACGGUUGUUGAAUUUUGCAUUUUUCACCCGUUGCCUUACCAUUUACACUGCACGAAAGUAAAUCCAUAUAUAAAUGAAAAAUAAAAACACUAAGAAUAAGAUUAAAGAUAGCAUAUUGUAGUAAAAAGAUAGAGAUACAAUGUUUUAUGUACCCUAGAAACAUCAACAAGAGUGAAAUAAGAGCGAGAAAAAUGAUCUUUUGAUUUCUCAUUUUGUUUAACUUAAAAUUGGUUGCACAACGUUGUAUGAUCUGAGCAAUUGUGUGUGUCUAUAUAUAGAUACGUGUGGGAGAAUUUUUUUUAGUAUCCUGGAGUAAUGUAGACUAAGAUGGAGUCAAAAAGAAAUUAAUUUUAAUUAAUCAUUAACAUAAUAAAUGUGUAAUUUACAUAUGUGAAAAGAAAUGAAUCAUUAAUUCCAUUGUCAAAGUUUUAGUUUAUAACUUUUGACCCAAACAAAUAUAGUUUAUAACUUUUCCAAAUUAAACAACUAUAUCCACACACUCGGUACAAGUCUAUUCGAAUAAAAAAUAAAUUUCCAUUUAAUAUUGUAUAAAGUUAUAUAAAAAACUUUAAUGGUGGUAGAUAAAAUUUACAAAAAAAUAAUAAAAUUAAAAAAGGUAUGUAAUUUUUUUUUAUAAAAAAAACAAUACUUUUCUUUAGUUAAAAAUAUCGAAAGUACGUUACAACAAUAUUUUAAAACUUUAUAUACCAAGUCAUGCAGUUUAAUAUUUAAAAUUUAACUAAGUCACAAUUAUUUUUUUUAUUCUUUCAACGUACGUUAUCAACAAUAUUUUACAAAAGUUAUUUAUUUUUAACUUUUAUAAGCUGUUAUUUUUUAAAACUUUAUAUAACAAGUCAUCUAUAUUAACAUAUACAAUUUAACUAAAUGUCGGUUGUUGAGUUUUUGUCUUUUUUAUUAGUGGUUUAAUUUUUAAGAUUAGAGCAUAAUUUCUAUAUUAUUUAAGACGGCUUUGUGUCAAAAGGUUAAAUGACAAAUAAAAUGAAUAGUUAUCGUGAUAUAUAUAUAUAUAUAUUCUAAACUACACUUUGCUUAUGUGUCACCUCACCAAUGCUCUUUUUUUAAUUUAACUUUAUUUUAAAGCAUUCUCCUAUUAUUGAUGAUAUUGUUGAUUAUGAAAUAUAUAUAUAUAUAUAUAUAUAUAUAUAUAUAUAUAUAUAUAUAUAUAUAUAUAUAUAUUGGAUAUAUCAAAAAUAUAUUUUCCUUACUUAUAUUCCCAAUCAAAUCAUAGUAUGAUACUAUUAUUUUUGGAUAAAGUACUAAAAUAACUCUAAAUCAAUUACUAUGAGUUAUAUAAAUGGAUCAUGUGUAAAAAUGUUUUACACCACCACCGGAGUAUAUUAUAUAGCGGAGGAAAGCAUGGGCUGAGGUGGGCCACGGUCCACCCCAAAAAAAAUUAAUUUUUUUUUUUUAGAGAGAAAUUACAAAAAUAUUCUUGACUUGAUUUGUUUUUUUUCAACUGGCCCAUCCAACCUCUUCACCUCCUCUGUUAGAUAACUAAAUUUCUCAUUCUCUUCUCACUCUUUCAUUAUUUUCUCAUUCUCUUGUUUGUUGUUAUUGUUUGUUGAUCGUUCGGAAUUGAAUUUUAAAAACUGCAAUGCAAUCAUAUUUACUGAAUUGGCUUAAUUGAAUAUUGAAUAGGAUUAUAGGAUUAGAGGAGCAUACAAGAUGGAUUUUUCAACUUAUGCAUAUGUCAUGCCACUUUGUUAGUGUUUAUUGAAUUGUUCUUGCUUGUUGCAAAUGCUUUUUUCUUUUAUAUACCGUAGUUCAAUCUAUGUUUAGUUAAGAUUUUUUUUUCAACUUAUGCAUACUUUAGUUCAAUUUUUCUUCAUUUUAGAACUAGUUUAUGUUUAACUUAUGCAUAUAACAAGGCUUUUUUUUCUUUCUUUUCAACUUAUGCAUAUUAGUUUAUGUUUAACUACGAAGGCUUUUCUCUAUACUUGUUAGUUUCUUUUUUUACCUUUUAUAAACUUUUAAUAAUGCAUAAUUUCUUUAAUUUAGAUUGUUAUUGACUUGUGGAAUUAUUUGAUUUUUUGAAAAAUUGAUCAUUUUCUAAGAGGAAAGUUUGUGGGAGUGAAAGAGAUGAACAAGGAAUAUCUUAUAUAUCUUAACAUGUUAAAGUUUCAAGAAUAGAAGUGGUAACUUCUACACCUCAAGGAACUAAGAUCACGUUUGGUUGUAACUAAGAUGAAUCAAAUUUACUUUUUGAUUGAACAACUUUGUGCUUAACGUUUAUUACAACAUAAAUUUCAUGUUUAUUAUAUAUUAGAGUUAAUUUUGUUGGCCCACCCCAGAUAUAUUUCCUGGCUCCGCCACUGGGUAUAUAUGAAAUUAAUCUCAAUAAAUAACUAAAAUGAAAUUUCUUACUAAAAAUAACGAAGCAAAUAGAUAGUUAAAAAUCGAAGUACAAGAUUCAAUGACGAUAUUUAAUUAUGAAGAUGUUGGAGAUACCUAUAUAUUAAAUGAGAAAACAUAGAGGGACAAAAAGGUUUUUGUUUAAAUUAUGAAAAUUAUUAUAUCGACUAGCUUUCAUUAGAGCAUUCCGUGCUCGUCUGUCAGUUCUUUUUAUUGCAUUAUUGCGUAUAAAUAACGAACAAAUUUUUUUAUGAAAUUUGAUUUUGAUUCAAUGAAUUUGAUUUUGAUUAGAAGUAUAUGUAUUGGAUAUUUUAAGUUUUUCAUAUUGUAACAAAUUAUACUUAUCUUUUUCAAUGAUACCAACAAUAUAACAAAUAUCUUUUUCUAAAAUGAAAAUCAUAUAACAAAUGUAAUAUAUAUUCUUACCUUAUUGAAUAACAUCAAAAAUAUAACAUUAUUAACAUGUGCUUUUUAAUUGUUCUAGCAGCCGAAAUCUAUAACAAAUUAGUGUGCUACUCCACACUGUUGAUGUUGCUGUUAAUCAAUAUCAAGAAUCUCCAGGUGAAAUCUUUCAAAUUCUUCAAAAUCCAACAAUUGAUGAGGCUGCACAUUUUGCUUGUAUUUCAUGGGGUAUCCGGAAAAAAAGAAAUAACAAGAUUUGAAAUAAUGUGGUAGAUGCUCAAAGUUUAGUGGUUGAGCAAGCAUGGAUGAUGCUUUAAGAAUGGAAGGUUGUUCGGAGAGUCUGUGGACAUGCUGGCUCUUACCGAGCUAGUAGAGAAAUGGAUUAAUGUCAAAUGGAUUAAACCUUAACCCACCUAGAUUGCUGAUGGUGUUGGCUUGCAACUAUAGAGAGUGCUCUUUUCAUGGUCUCGAGUUCGAUUCUCUCUAAUGCAACUUUCGAUGAACUAGGUAUCAAGAAAUGUAUUAGACAUGAGUGGGGUGCCUUUGGUUUGGCUAAAAUAGAAUGGUUCUCCCUGGUUUGUUAUUUUUACUUUGGAGCAACUCUUGCCUUACUUUCAUCUCUCAAUUCGAUGCAUGAGCUAUCUCUCAAUUGUAUUGGAAAGCUAAUGUUGCUCCUCUGCAUGAUUGAACCAAAGCUGUCUGAUCUUAAUCUGUCUGAUUUUAAUCAUGCGGCUAAUGUUUAACCUAAUGACCCGCUCCAGUUGCCUGUAUACCGACCCGGUUCGGAUCUUUUGUUUUAAACCCAGCUGUUUCCUUUUUCAGCUUGCUCUCAUACCCCCUGAAUACUGCUGCACCCCCACCUUGUGAUUGAACCCCAUUUUUAUUUCUUUCAAGUCUUACAUAAAUAAUUUAGGCUUUGAUGUAAAUAAUUUAUUUAUUUUCUUGUCAUUUAUUUUCCGCAGACCAUAGCAUGUAUAAUAGGGCUUUUUGUAAUAGCUUUAGGUGCAUGUGUGCGUGUAUGUUUACCUCUUAUGCUUUAGUAGUUUAGGUCAAAGGUCCUCGUGGUGGUCCAACGCCACCAUAAGGUACCUACGUUUUUAUUUUUCUACUCCGUUAGUUUAUAUUCUAGUUCAUUUAUUCAAAAACAACAAAAACAUGCAAAUAACAAAAAAAUCAUAAAAAACAUUUUUCAUAAUAAACCUUGAUCCAAAUCAAGUGACCGCAUUUUUAUUUUAUUUUCUUAAUCAAACAUCAAUCAAUUUAAUUCUACUUCGAGUUUAUUUUCAUUUAAAUUAAAAAACACAAACAAAUUUAUUUUGCCAUUUGGCUUUUCCUUUUAAAAUCUUUUUUUCAAAACUAUUAAAAAACACCAAACCAAUCAAACGUUGUUUUCUACCCCGAACUACGAGGUUUUGAUCCCUCACGGGUACGUAGGCAGAGGACACUCGUCCUUCCAAACAAUAAAAAAUGUAGAUAAAUUAGGUCUCACUUUAUUUUUCUUUUAAUCAUCAUAUUAACUCCUUUUUUAAAAGCAAGCAAGUUUAUAGCACAAAAAGUAAAUGAAACCAAGAGGUUCCCGUAGAGUACUACGGACAUAAAGGGUGCUAAUACCUUCCCUUUAUGUAACUAAACCCCGAACCCUAAAUCUUUUCAAAUAGGGGUAGUUUGAACUUUUUUUUCCCUUUUCAUAAUAAAAUUAAAUGUUCAGUCGUGAAAUAAAUUAGCGAGUCAAAAGCUAAUCAAAUAGCCUUGAUCUCCGAAAAAUGACGCGACAUAGGGCAAUUGAAUUAAUGUAGAUGUAUGUGAAUGUGGUGCUUCAUUGAGCAUAACAUGUUACCCUUAUCUUGUAUUUUGUUUGCAAGUUGCUGACUUGAGUAAUCUAUGCACAAUGAAAAACAUAAACAACUAUGUUUUUUCAGUUUACAGUGCUUCCUUUUUUGUGAUUACUUUUCAUAUGCCUUGUAUGCUUCAAAUUCUAAUGUCUAAGUCUUCAUUUUCUAAUUGAAAAAGUACUUUUGCAUGUGUUCUUAUUUUCCUGUUUUGCAUUCUUUUCAUGAUUUACAUUUCUGAUUCCAGAAAACUUGAUAACAUCCAACUAUGGAGCCACCCAAAUAGAUAAACAAGAACAAGAACAAGCAAAAGAACAAGGUGUUGUCACACAAAACGACAAACAAGAAGAACAACAAGGGUUGUGUACCCACUCAACUUCAACCUCAGCUCCAAACCCAACCUCACCCCCAACCUAUUCCAAAUAUAACACAACCUUCACUCACUCAACCCUAACCUCAGCCUCAACCUAUUCCGUAUUUGAUUCAUUCUAAACUAGCUCAAUCCCGACCACAACCUCAAUCCCGGACUAUUCCACCGUUGUUUCUAUCUCAACCUCAAUCCAUCCCAUCUCAACCCGGUCAAGCUCAAUCCAUGUUUAGAUCUAUAUCUCAAUUCCAACAUUCUCAACCUCAACUUCAAUCUACCCAAUCACACCUUCGACCACAAUCUACACAAUCUCACCCUCCAUUAACUCAACUUGAACCAAGUCAACCUCAACCUCGAUCACGGUCUCAAUCCACCCAACCUCACCCUCAAUCCACUCAACCUCAACGAAGUCAACCACUACCGCGGCCUCAAUCCAACCCAAUCUCACCCUCAAUCCACUCAACCUCAACAAAAUCAACCUCUACCGCGGCCUCAAUCCACCCAAUCUCACCCUCAACCCACUCAACCUCAACAAAAUCAACCUAAAAAACGACCCAUCCAUACCCAAGUUAUGGUCAAUAGAGCUCCAUCUUCAGCUAGCCAUGUUAGUGGAGACACCGUUGGUACUAAAAUACCAAUAAUUCCAGAUGGUGAGGGGUGAGUUUGUUGCUCCCAUAUAAUAAUGAUUAUUUGGCUAAUAUAAAUAUGGCUGACACAUGAUUCUGUUAACUUGCCUUUUGGAUCAAGUAACAAUGCAAGACUGUUGUGCUUGUGGUAUUAUGAUUUUAGUGGUCAAAUCUAAAAAUUCAUAUUAUUUUUUUUCGUGUACAUUAUAUUAUGGAGUUAACAGUCAAGUCAACCACAUUUAUAUUCAAAAAAAGAUGGACUUAUCUACUCAGAAUCUACCCAUUUAUAUUCUGGAGUUGCAAAUGAGGCACCAAAUGCAACGGCAAGAAAAAGAGAUGAGCAAAACUAAUAAAAAACUUGCUGUCAUUAUGAAACAUUUGGGAUUUGUUGGAUCUUCUUCCCAUGUUUCAAAUCCCAACAGUGAAUCAAAUGAGCACAUUGAUGAAGAGGACAACAAUGAUUUUUUUGAAGAUGACCAUGAUUUUUCUGAAGAUGUUGAUGAAGAUAACAAUAGUUAUCAUAUUGAUAACUAGUAACUUGGAGUCUCAAAUUAUGGUAUGUUUCUUUAUUGUUAAGAUAGUUGGAAGUUAUGUGGAGUUAGUUAAGGUAGUUAGACUAGACUUAGUAAUCAACUAUAGUUAGUUGAUAAGUAAACUAGAGUUAGUAGCUUGGUUAGAAGUUAGUUAGAGGUAGUUACUCAAACUAAUCUCUAUAUAUAGGAACACUAUUGUACUCAUUCAUUAUCUUUUAUCAAUCUAUUCAUUUCUACAAUGAGUUACUUUGAGUAUCUCCCUCAUGAGUACUCUUAUGCUUGCUAUCUUGCUUACAUCUAUGACUUUUCUCCCUAUGAUUCCAUGAUUCUUAACAUUUAUUGGACUCUUUGUGUACAGUUGCCUUUUUUCACAUAUAUUAGCAUAUGAAGUAAUUUGCUCCAUUGUUGAAAAUAUGUGUAUUAUUAGUAGUAUUGUUAUGAAUUGUACUUUUUUGUUCUAGGCUUGAACUUUAGAAGAUCUCAGCCUCUCUAAAAGUAUUCACAUGGUAGAGUAUGACAUACUUUUAGCCAGAUUAGAUUUACAGAAUUAAUUCGUUCAAUAUAUCAAUUUUUGUCAACAUUACUUAUUAUUGUGAAUCUGUGGUACUCACAAAUCUAAUUAUAUGCUUUUGUUGUUGUACUCUUGUUAAUAUGUGAUGUUGGUUUUUGCAGAUAAUGCUGGUGUUAUUGUGAAUCCUAAGGGAGAAAUGAAAGGUAUCAUUUGUUCAUUUUUCUGUAGUAAACUCAGAUUAUAUACUUGGGACCUAAUGCUCAUGCAAAUAUGUUUAGAUCUUUUGUAAUUGAAAUUGAAGUGUCAUAUUAAAUUAGUACACUUUCUUCAUUGCCUUUUGGCUAUUGUUAUAAUGUGGUUAUGCUAAUUUUUUCACAAGAAAAAAACAUACCACCUGUCUUUUUGUUAGUUUGCUAAAUUAUUUUACCUUUUGACUGUUUUGUCUAAUUGAUUCAUUGCUGGUAUUUGAUUUGGGUUUUAAUAUAUAUGUCAUGUUGUCCAUUGUAGGUUCCGUUAUCACAGGACCAAUUGGAAAGGAGUGUGCUGAUCUUUGGCCUAGGAUUGCAAGUGCUGCCAAUGUCAUUGUAUGAGUGUUGAUUCUGUUUCAAGAUUGCAAGUAGUUCCAAUGCCCUUUUGUGGCAGUUUUAAUACAAGUGAAAUGUUUUUAGGUCUUGCAAGACAAUUUUGUCAUAUUAUAGUGUUUGUUGAAAUGUUUAUUAUGCAUAUUUUGCAGCUUCAUAAUGAUGGAGACUUGAUGUAUUUUAUGACUAGUGUUUUUGUUACAAAGAACAAGUUUUUAUUGCCAUUUUUUUUAGUGUAUCCUAUUUUUGGAUUUUUUACCUCUUUACAUGUUUUUAAAAAAACGCAUAUGCUAUGUGCCAAAUUUGACUCGAGAUAGUUUCUAAUAAACUUCUAUAUCAUCUUAAAAAAUAAAUAAACUUCUAUUAUCAAAAAAUAAUUAAAAAUGACUUUUAAUAUGGCUGUUGGCAUUCAUUAAUAGAAAAUAAUCAAAAAAUUGUACCGAUGAAACAGAUGGUUCUUAUGAACAGAUAAAUUUCCUGGGGAUUUUUCUGCGGAUUGGUUCAGUUUCCUGACGAAUUACCUGCGGAAAUAGCUCUGCUGCGGCAUUACCUAAGACAUUUGCUGCGGAAUUUCAUGCGGAACAUUUGCAGGAAACAUUGACAGGCAGGGGAAUCUCUCCCACUCUGACCAAACAUUUCCUGCGGAUAUUAUUGGCUUUUCCUGAGGAAAAAAUUUCCUGCGGUUUCAAAAAUCCUCAGGAAACAAUUACCCACCAAGGUAUAUUACCUGGGAGUGCAAAUCCUUGGCAAAAUCGGCAGGAAACCUGUUUCCUGCGGAUUUUUCACUUGAUUCCGCAGGAAAAUCGAGAGUUACUAGUAGUGUAACUUGUGCCUUUAUGUGAAAGAGGUUAAUAUAAAGAAUCACUUAUGUCAGCAACUUUAGGACUAGUUGAUAUUGUAAAAUCAAGGACAACCUCCUGAGGCUUAGGAGAAGCUUAUAUAUAACUUUUUCGAUAUCUGUUAUUAGUUGGAAUUAAGUUUGGCUCAUGUGUUGGAUCACCGUUGUCAACAUCCUCUCCUUUCAUGCCAAUCAUAACCAGCAUCAAACUUCCUUUCAUGUAAGUUUAUGCAUGCCUGCAAUUAUCGGUUAUGGUAGCCUUAAUUGUAAAUUUUGGUUUUUUCAGAUUGUGUUGAUAAAUUGGUGAACAACAUUCAUGAACAAAAAUGUGCAACGCGGACAAGGAAGUAUUGCCAACAAUGUACCUCACUUGGAAAUGAAGUUUGAUUCUGAGGCGGCGGCUUAUGAAUUUUAUAAUGAGUACAGUAAAAGAAUUGGAUUUGGUAUUCAUCGAGAAUAUGGAAAUAAAAGCAUAGUAGAUGGAGUUUUGACUUCAAGAAGAUUCACAUGCUUCAAAGAGGGUGUACGAGGUGUUGGCAAAAGACAUCAACCAAAAGGGGAGCCUAGAGCAGAAAUUAGAACAGGAUGUUUGGCGCGUAUGGUUAUUUCACUUGAUCAGAAGAUAGAGAAAUAUAAAGUUGUUGACUUUAUAGCUGAACAUAACCACCACCUUCAAAUAUAAAGUUGUUGACUUUAUAGCUGAACAUAACCACCACCUUCAAAUAUAAAGUUGUUGACUUUAUAGCUGAACAUAACCACCAUGUUCAUAUAAAGUUGUCGACACUUAUAGGUGUUUUUGUAAGUUUCUAGGUGUUGAUUUUAAGAGUCAUGGCCUUGCAACAUGUUGCUGACAGCUUUUACAGUUUUCGGCCAAGACCUUAAUUCAAAACCUGAAUCAUUAUAUGACAAAGAGAUGUUGUUUAGUAUGAUAUUAUAAACUCAAGUCCUAAGCAGUUAUCAGAAUUGCGGUGUUUUUAUUACCUAUGAUAUUAUGUGCUGCUGCUAUUUUCAAUUUCUGUUCAGAUGCUUUUGUCAAAUUGCGGUGUUUUUAUUACUUAUGAUAUUAUGUGCUGCUAGCUAGUAUUUUCAAUUGCGGUGUUAUCAUAAAUUGAAGUAUUCCAAUUACGACGACGUUACUAAUAAAAAAAACCAAUGCCGCGACUUCAGAAUGUUGUUUUUUAACACCGUUAUCAUAAAUUGAAGUAUUCCUUCAUUCUAACAUUGUUCUCUUCAUUCCUUCAUUCUCCUAUUUGUACAAUUAAGAAGAAUAUUUUCUGUUAGGCAUUUUCUCCUAUUUGUACUAACAAGAGGACCUGUAUAGUUCCUAUGGCAAGAAUAGAGCAUUGAUCUGCCACAUUCCAUUCUGCCUAAUUGACUAUCAACCAACGCCGCUUAAUAUAAUUGCAAGACUGAAAAUUUGUAACUGACAAUAAUUGUUGUAAGGGCAGUAAUUCCCACAACCAAACCAGCCGUAAUAGUGAUGCGUAUCAAUGGAAGGAAGGGGAAAUAUAUCGAGUACUGAUGUACUCCAAGAAAUAUGUAUGUUCAUAAGGGGAAAUAUAUCAGUUUCGAGUAGUGAUGCGUAUCAAUGAAAAUUUCGAGUACUGAAGGGGAACCACCUAUGAUUAUUUAUGUAAUGUCAUAUAAUUUUAAUCUUUUUUUUGUAAGCAGGUGACUUGAUGGGAGUAUAAGGGGUAUUCAAUCUCAUUGUAAAAUAUUGUUAGCCACUUUGAAGACAAGACAGAGGGUUAGAGCACAUUGAAACAAUCUUUAACUCUAGCUCCAGCUACAAACCAAGCCAACAUAAAAUUUUAAUAAUAUCUAGAACAAGCCUCGUCAACCAUAAACACCAUGAAGGGGCUAACUGAAUCAAGCAUUUUCAUUUUAUUAUGAAUUCUUUUGUAUGGGUUCAGAAAUUCAUAUGUAUUCCAUAUUAGGGACAAACUACAUAGUUGCCAAAAUUGGGAAUUGAGAUUCAUUAUUAGAUCAAGCCAGCGUUAAUCCAAUGAAGGUACACUUUGCAGAGAACAAAGUCACAAUCAAUGAAAUGAAGCAACUCAAUUCUUCUUAAAUAAUUUUUUUUUGAAAUGAAUUCUUUCUUAAUCAGAAGGGGGAAGAGUGCGCUGGUGGAUGGAGGGAGAGGUGCGGUGGCGAUGUAAGGGAGAGAGGUGCUAUCUGAGAAGGAAGAAGGAGGGUUUGUAAGCGCAUAGGAUUUGUUUCGAGUAGAGAGCGCGUAGGAUUUUUUCUCAUUAAAAAAUUGUUUUUUCCAAACCAUUUAAUCACAAUCAUUGAUCUUAUUUUAUCCACAUGUCACACAUCCAUGUCUUGAGAUGGGGUAAAUUGAGCAAAGAUGCACUCAGAAUUCCGGGGUGUUAUAGGGAUUGAAAAUGAUGAAUUUUAAAAUAGAGAGACAAAUUCGUGAGUGGGUGAAUAUAUAGGGAUCAACACUGCAUUAUUUAUGUCUAUUUUGUUAUAGAGGAAGUACAAUGUUUCAGAUUUUGCAAGGGUAUAAAAUGAAAAGAUUGUUGAAUUAUAACUUGAUUUUCUAAAUGAACCAAAAAUUUUGGAUAAAACUAAAAAAUAUAAAUAUAUUUUUAGUCCUAAUAAAUAUAUUAUUUAUUAUUUGUAUCAAUAAAAUAUUUGUUGGUUUUUAAUCUUUGAAAAUAUAUAAGUUUUUUAUUGUGUCGUUUUUUAUUUGGUACACAGUUUAUACUGUAAUUUGUCCCUAUAAUUGGUGUGUAAUAUAAAUUUUUAAAAUUAGUGGUACAAAAAUCAUGUCCUUGCUCCUAAUGGUUAUAUCUUCAUUGUAAUGUGGUGGGUCUUAUGGAAGGCUCAAAAUGAUAAGAUUUUCAAUGAAAACGAUUGGGUAAAUUGAAUUUGGCUUAACCAUAUUUAUUCUCUUCAUUCAUAUGUCACGUUGAACUUUUCCAAGGAUGCAACUCACAAGCAAAAUAAACAGGUUAAAUUGAUUCCUCCUUCGGAUAAUAUCAUCACCUUUUCAAGGAUGGAACUCACAAGUAAAAUAGACCGGUUAAAUGGAUCCCGCCUUCGAUUAAUAUCAUCAAAGUUAUUGUUGACGAUAGUUCUCUUUCCAAUCCUGAAAGAUCGGGAAUUUGAGGUCUUAUAAGAAACAAUAAUGGUGAUUGAUUGUUGGGUUUUCCGGAUUUUUGUGGUUUUAUUACUUCUUGCUUAGCGACAGAAUUAUAUGUCAUUUUUCAUGACCUUCGUAUUACGUAUGAUGUGGGGCACAAGAACAUUAUUCUUGAAUUUGAUACUAGGGUGGCUCUUGAUUUAAUCACGUCAGAUGUCCAACUUUAUCAUCCUUAUGCUCCUAUAAUCUGUCAGAUUGUCGGGCUCCAUCGUAGAGAUUAAAUUGUUAAUUUUCAUCAAACCCUCCGUCAAGGCAAUGAGUUCUUCUUCUUCAUAUGCUAUAAACUCUGGAGAAUUUUUUCCAUUCUCAACUACAUCACUCCCUUCUUGUUGAUGCCUUUGAAGUUGCUCUCUUAAGAUUUUAGUUUUUGCUUUGUUUUGUCCUUUUUUUUCUUGAUAAAUAAAGAAAGGGUUUGUUGGAUUGUAUAGUAAGGUGUGUAUGACUGCUCGGAUUUGUCAUUUUUUACCCUUUAGGAUUGUUUGUAAUACCUGUUUGGGUUGUUUGUUUUUUGUAUCAGAUUUUAUAUCCCUAUGUUUUCUAUACUUUUUCUUUUAUUUUAAUUUGUGUUGCAUAUCUACAUGCGUCUCAUUUGUUUACAAAAAAUAAAACAAAAAGAAGUAAUAUAUUUAUUUUUAGAAAAACAAAAGUAAAUUAAGUAAAAAAGAAUCAUCAAACAAGCAGUCCGCAUAUUAUCAUAAUAAAAUAUUUAUUAUUCUCAAGAUUGAUAGUGAGUACAUGAUCGUCUUUGUAAUUUGUUUCUCAACGUGGAUUUUAUAUUAAAAUCAAACUCCAUUAAAAUUGAUAGUGUGUGUAUAUAUUUGGACAAUAUCCUCACAGGAAAUUGGAUGCACCAGUCUUCCAGUAACGGCAUUUGCAAACUCCAUUAGGAUAAACACAAUAAAAUGAAUACGCUACACUUGCAUCACAUAAUCCCUGACAUUGUGUCAAGCAAUUUUUCAUGCCGCAUGGUUGUUGAAUUUUGCAUUUUUCACCCGUUGUCUUACCAUUUGCACUGCACCAAAGUAAAUCCAUAGAUAAAUGAAAGAUAAAAACAUUAAGAAUAAGAUUAAAGGUAGCAUAAUGUAGUAAAUAGAUAGAGAGAAAAUAGUUGAUGUACCCUAGAAACAUUAAGAAGAGUGAAAGAAGAGCGAGAAAAAUGAUCUUUUGAUUACUCAUUUUGUUUAAAUUGAAAUAGACUGCACAACGUUGUAUGGUAUAAACAAGUGUGUGUGUGUGUGUGUCUAUAUAUAGAUACGACUGGGAGAAUAUUUUUGGUAUUCUGCGGUACGACAAACUAUGAUGGAGUCAAAAAAUAAUUAAUUUUAAUUAACCAUUAGCAUAAUAAAUGUUAAUAUACAUAUGUGUAAAGAAAUAAAUCAGUAAUUCCACUGCCAAAUUCAAGUUUAUAACUUUUGACCAAAAAAAAAAUCUAGUUUAUAACUUCCCGAAAUUAAACAUCUAAAUCCACACAUUUUGUGCAAGUCUAAUCGAAUGAAAAACAAAUUUCCAUAUGAUGUUAUAAAAGGUUAUAUAAAAAUCUUUGACCGUAUAACAUAAAAAUUUUCAAUAUUAUUUUCUUUUUAUAAGAAAAUAAUAUUUAUCUUUAGCUAAAAAUAGGAAAAGUACCUUAUCAACAAUAUUUUAUAAAAGUAUUUUUUAACUUUUAUCUAAGUUUUUAUUUUAAAAAUUUAUAUACCUAGUCAGAAAAACAAAUUUCCAUAUGAUGUUGUAAAAGGUUAUAUAAAAAUCUUUGACUGUAUAACAUAAAUUUUUUCAAUAUUAUUUUCGUUUUAUAAGAAAAUAAUAUUUAUCUUUAGCUAAAAAUAGGAAAAGUACCUUAUCAACAAUAUUUUAUAAAAGUAUUUUUUAACUUUUAUAUAAAUUUUUAUUUUAAAUCAUCCGGUUUAAUAUUUAAAAUUUAAAUAAAUGACGGUUCGUUUUGAUUUUUUUCUAUUGUUUUUUUUAAAGUACGUAACAAUAUUCAAUAAAAGUAUUUUAUUAUCUAUUAUAAGUUUUUAUUUUUAAAACUUUAUGUACCAAGUCAUCCGGUUUAACAUAUACACUUUAACAAAAUAACGGUUCUUUUUGAGUUUGUAUAUAUUUUAUUAGGGGUUUUAUUUUUAAGAUUAGGACAUAAUUUUUAAAUUAUUUAAGACGACCAUGUGUUAUAACAGAAAAUGACAAACAAAAUGAACAGUUAUCAUCAUAUUGUUUUUUAUAAUAUGCUUUCAAUCAAAUCAUACCAAUUUUGUUUAGUUAAUCAAAUCAUACCAUGAUAUCACUAUUUUUGAGUAUGGUACUAAAAUAUCUCUAAAUCAUUUAAUAUGUGUGAUUUGAUUCGAUGAUCUGUAAAAAAAAAAAUUACACCAAUGUGUGUGUAAAUAUAAAAUUAAUCUCAAUAAAUAAAUAAAAUGAAACGUCUUACUAAAAUUAAAAAAAUCAGGUAGAUAAUUAAACAUCAAAGUACAAGAUUUAGUGGCAAUAUUUAAUUAUGAAAGAUGCUAGAGAUAACGACAUAUUUAAUGUGAAAUAUGGAGGGACAAAAAGUUUUUGGUCAAAUCGAUCACUAUUAUAAGCAAAAAUAUAUUUCUUAGAUUUAUUUGAAUAAAUGAUAUAUAUGGUUUAUAAUAUAGACCGCAUAUAUCACUUAUUCAAUGAAUCUAAAAAGUUGAUUUUUGGUUAUAAUUGUGACGAGAUGGUGUAUAUCAAAAUAAAGAAAGGGACACAUUUUGAAUUUUUUUCAUUUGUAUGUUUUACAUAUUAAUAUCCACUUCAGUACUUCGUGAUUAUAUUCUGGCUAGUUGGCGAGAAUUGAUCUUGAGUUUAUUGUUGUUUUUCAUAAUAAAUUGUUAGCGUCUCGAUUUUUUACCGUGUUGACGAUGGGAUCCAGUCAUCUUUUUCAAAAUUGGGGUCUAGUGCUCAUCAACUCAUACACAUCUUUUUUCUUCUUCUUCAAUUUGAUUCCAUGUCUGUAUGUGGGUUUGUUGGAUUGUAUAGUAAUGUGUGUUUGACUGCUCCCUAUACGGAUUUGUCAUUUUUUUUUUCCCUUUAGGGUUGUGUUGUAAUACCUAUUUGGCUUCGUGAUGGCAAUGUUAACACUAAAUUUUUUCAUGUUGUUGCCUCCUCAUAAGAUCACUUCCUUUGUGGACUCCUCAUAUAUACUUGUAACUAACAAUGAAAAUUUAGGCAAUGUAGCUUGUUAAUAUUUUGUUCAUCUUUUUCAUGUGCAUAAUAACAUUAUUAAGCUUGUUAUUAACACUAUUGAGCCUUCUAUUUAAAUGGAUGAUACAAACAUGCUUAUUGCUCCUUUUACUAUUAAUUGAAGAGUUUAUAUAAGCUUAUUUAAUCCAGUUUUUUUCAACACUUUUGGUCUCUUUAUGGUAAUGAGAUUUUUCAGCAAUAUUGUGAGUGGCUUCCUACAUGUUCUUUUCCUACACCUUUUAACAUGACUAAUGCAGUUGUAAUUCCAAAAGGGGAAAACUAGGUGUCAAUGAAGGAUUGGCGUCUUACAUCACUUUGCAAUAUGGUCAACAAAUUUGUGGCGAAAGUUCUUCCAAAUCGCCUCAAAACAGUCUUAGAUAAGUUCAUAUCUGAAAACUAGUCUAAUUUUGUUCUUGGUAUAUUUAUGUUUAAUACCUCAUUGGUGGCUAUUGAAAUAGUGCACCAUAUGAAUUCAAGGUGAAAGGAAAAGGAGGGAAUGUGGCUUUGAAGCUAGAUAUGAGUAACGUUUAUGGCACAAUUUAUUGCAACUAUCUACAUGGUGUAGUGACAAAAAUAGUUUUUUCUCAUUGAUUAUACUUUGUAUUGAAAUUGUUGAUUACUUGGUUCUUGUCAAUGGAAAUUCCACAUGACCUAUUUUCCUAUGUAUGGGGCUUCAUCAAGGGGAUCCUCUUUCUCAUUACAUGUUUAUUACAUGUGUUGAAGGUCUUACUUUCUUAAUUAAUCAUGCUGAGACUAGUGGAGAUAUUCAUGGAGUGAAAGUUUGCAUCAAUGCUCUUAUUAUUUUACAUAUGCUUUUUGCAUAUUAUUGUUUCUUGUUAUAUAGAGCCAAUUCUAAUAAAGCUCAAAAAAUGAAGAAUAUUUUGUCUACUUAUGGAACAACUUCUAUGAAUGCUAACAAUCUGCAAAAAUCAGAAAUAUUUUGUAGUAGGAACAUAUCUCAUACUGAUCACAAUGAUAUUGCAAAUAUACUUGUUAUUCAAGUUGUUCUUGGUCCAGGUAAAUAUUUGGAGUUUCAUUCAAUGAUUGGCAGAAGCAAGAAUUUUAGUUAUAGCAAAGACCGUAGUUGUAAGAUAAUUAACUCUUGGAGUAGUAAAUGUCUCUCAAACACAAGGCAUGAGGUUCAGAUUAAAUCUAUGCUUAAAUCGUUCCCACCAUAUUUCACGAGCUUAUUCAAGUUACUUUCAUCUUUGUUAUAUGAGAUUGAGAAAAUGAUGAACUCCUUUUGGUCGGGUCGUUCCGGUUCUCGAAACAAAGGUAUGCUUAUUUUUUCUUGGAAUAAGUUGUCAAUGCACAAACAAGAUAGAGGUAUUAGUUUUAAAAUUGUAUCUAAUUUUAAUCUGGCCAUGUUAAGAAAAUACGAUUGAAGGAUCAUGACAAAUCCUUAUAUUACGAUUAAUAGUAAUGAUAUUUCCAUUUUAAAAGAAAAUUGUAUCUCUGAUAUACCAAUAGUUCCUCAAAAUAUAAAGGAUUUACCGUUUGUUGAUUCAUGACUGUCCGGUCUUACUUAUGAUUCAGGAAGAUAAAUGAUGGAGCGUUCCUUUCAUUGCUUCAAUUUUUUUAUCAAGGAAUCGUGAAUGGGUAAUGCUUGUUUUAGCGAGAAACAACGUCCUGUUAGUUUAGUUGAUAAUUCAAGUUUAGUUUAGUGAUAAUCAUGAUUAAUUGAUUGAUCACACUUUGUUUUAGUUUGUUUUAAAGUUUGUUACAAGUUGGUUAUAAGUUUUAGGAAAUAAGAGUUAGAGUUGUUACUUACUUGUGCUUCAAGUAACAUAACAAUUGCUUGUAUAUAAGCUCAUUCCUUGUACAAAUUUUCCUUAGAAUCAAUAUACAAAUACUUUUCCUCAAUCAUAUAAUCUUUCUCUCUUCUCAUUCUCUCUCCCUAAAUCGCAAAAUUCACUAAACCCUAAAAACUGCAAAACUGCUUCUGGUUAUUGCUUGUGAUACAAGCUUUGAUUUGCUGCGCUUAGGGGUGGUAAUAGGCCAGGCCAGGCCAGGCUUUGAUAGGCCUGAGCCUGGCCUACGAAAUAAAUCACAAGCCUAAGCUUGGCCUAGGCCUAUCAUAGGCCGUUUUUCUAGGCCUGGCCUGGCCUAUUUAAAAGCCUGGACUGGCCUGAAAGCCUACUUACAUGCCUACUUCACAUUAAGGCCAUCAAAUAGUUCAUUUGGCCUACUAAAUAGGUUAAACAUGUCUUAAAGACUACUUAAAAGCCUAUUUCACUACAAGUAAAUUUCAACUAGAUUAAAGCCUACAUAAAAGCCUAUAACAACAAAGCCUAUUAAGGGACUAAUAGAUAGAGAAAAAGAUGUUUAUAUUUUUAAUAUAUGCAAUUAUUUUAAUAUAAAAAAUAUUUUUUAAUAAAUAAGUAUUAAUAGGCCGGCCUAUUAGGCUUAACAGUCUUUUUUUGAAGUCUAAGCCUGGCCUAUUUAACUAAAUAGGCUUUCCAAAAAGCCUAAGCCUAGGCCUAUCUACUAAAUAGUCCAGGCCAGGCCAGGCCAAAACAGGCCAGGCCGUAGGCCCCUAUAGGCCGGCCUGGCCUAUUCCCAACCCUAGCUGCGCUAACAAAUUGGCAUCAAGAGCUUGUGGUUUCGUUCUAAGGGUUUAUCAAGAUCUUCAAUCACGCAAAUUCAGGAAGAAACGCUGAAGGAAGAACUAUGAAUGGUAGCAGCAGUUUCAACACUCAUCUUCUAAUUUUUGAAGCACGCAAUUGGGAAAGAUGGAGCGUAGUAAUGAAGAACUUGUUUAGAGCAUAAGAUUUGCUUGAAAUUGUGCAGAACGGUGUAGGUGAUUUAGCUAUGAAUGCCACAAGAGUGCAAAGGAACGCACACAAGAAUCUGAAGAAGAAAGAUUGCAUGUGCGUUCCUUAUGCAUGUGUGUUUUUUCUUUUCAAGGAGUGCAAAGGAACAGUGUAGGUUAUAUAGAUAAUGUGACUUAGGUUAAGGUUAUAACCUAAAUCACGUUAUAACCUUAAAAAGAUCUAUAUAUGGGUGUGUGGUAGUGUUGAUUUUGAAUGGUUGUUUAACAUUGCUAUAAAUUCAUAGCAAGGUACAAACACAUGAGGACUAGAGUGUGACAAAUUCAUUUACCAGGCCCCACUGAUUUUAGGAGAUACAUACAUGUGUUUUGGAAUUGAAUGUAGUUGAAAGUAUGAGUGUGUUCUUUAAGUCUGUCCCGCUUGCAUGGAAGUGGGAAGAGUAACAAUCUGAACAAACACCAUCUCUGGAAAUGUAUGUUCCAAUUCUUAAAUUCAUGUACAUUCUUUGUUUGAGGAUAAGCAACAAUUUUUGUUUGGGGUUAUGAUGACGGAGCAUCAUAUAAUAUUUUAGGCUAUGUUUUUUUAGUUAUUUUCUUUGGAUUUCUCCUCAUGUUCUCUCGAGGUUAUGUAUUUCUAUUGUUUUGUUAUGAUGUUAAUUACAAUGUGUAAUUAAACCUUUCUUGAUUAGGGUUUCACAGUGAACCUCUACUUAUUUGUUGGAUUUAAUUAAUAAAAUUUUCUAUCCAGUUUAUGAUUCUAUUGCCCGAUUUAAUUUGUAUAUGCUCCACGCUCAAUGCUUUUCAACAAAAUGUUGACAUGAUAUGUAGGUUAAGGUAUAAGACUCAACUAUCUUGUCGGUGCUCAAACAAGAAUAGUCGUAAAUUGUUUAUUUUAUAAGUUAAUCUCUUUUAAUUGAGUGUAUGUAUGAUCGUUAGAGUUAUGACUCAUCUUUAAGGGUACAUCGCAAAUAUAGCCUUUGUUUGGGCACAAAUACUCGAAUUUCGCAUCAUUACAUCACAAGGUCACAUCAGAACCUUCAUUUAUCAAAGCAGGUCAUAAGUAAUAUCAAACCGAGUUAAUUCCAACAAAGAAGAUAGAGGAGAUUCAAGGAUACCCUAAUCAUCGUUAAACAUCCGAAUCAAAAAUCUAAUCUUGCAUUGUGCAAGUCAAUUGAAAACAUGAAAACCUUUUAAACUCUUUUACUACUUUUACUCAAAUAAAUUCCAAUAAUUGUUAAGUUGAAUAACAAUCUUUAUGAGGACGAUAAAUUACUACUUUAUUACUUGUAAUAAUUUAGUCCACUUACCAACUCGUCCAUCAAAUUUUUGGCGCUGCUUUCGGAGAUUGUUGAUAUUUAUUUUGUAUCAAGACAAUUCACUAAAUUUAUUUUGUAAAUAUUUUGUUUUUUAUUUUCUGUUUUUAGAACAAACAAUUAAAUAAGAGUCUCUAAUACUCUCCCUAAAAAUAAAAAGUCUCUAAUACUCUCUAUGUUCCUAGUUAUAAAAGAAUAUUCUUUUUCAGAUUAAUUGAAUAAUUUAUGUAUGUAAUAUGUAUAAUAUAUCAUAUACAAUUAUCAAUGAAUCAAAAAAAUUCCUCUUAUAAUUAGGAUUGGAUUGAGUAUUUAUUUAUAGAAUAAUUUCAAAUUAAACUAUACAAUAAUUCAUGGGCAAUGCUAACCAGUGUCUCCGGGGCACUGGAUAAGGAACAAUAAAUAGUAAUUAAAUAAAUGAAUCUCACUUAAUUCAUCUCAGUUAAAGUAUAAUAUAUGUCAACUAAUUAAAAAUAAUAAAAGCUAUAAUCAAUACUCUUUCAAUAUUCAAAGGCAUAACCAUUAUUACAGAGACGCGUCCUUUCCAUUCCAUCUGUUUACACCACCAUAUGACUGCUAUAUAUUAUCUCUCUGCAAUCAUCAGUACUAUAUUUUAUUCUGCAGCUAUUAUUCAAAUUUCUUUUUUUUUAUGCUCAAUUUAUUGGAAGUCCGAAUUUAUUAGGUAUUAUUCAAACUUUUUUUUUCUUGUUUCUAUAUGUUAUUGUUUUAACAUCAGGUAAAAAAAAAUUCCUUGAGUAAAGUUUGCAGGAAAAAAAUUAUUAAGAAAUGAAGGCUGGAAAUGAUUUCCGAAAUUGAAAUCACAAAGAAAAAGAGUGAAAAGCACGCGCGCGUGUGGUAUUUAACUGUGUAAAGGAAAGAAAUUUUGUUGUAUUAAUUACAACUAUUUCUUAUUUUAAUUAGUUGACAUAUUUUACAUAUAAUUGAGAUGAAUUAAGUGAGAUUCAUUUAUUUAAUGCAUAUUAGUCCUUAUCCAGUGCCCCGGGGCACUGGUUAGCAGCACCCUUUUUUGGAAAUGCUAACCGAUGCCCCCGGGGCACUGGUUAAGGAUAAUAAAAAAGGAAAUUAUAUGUUAAUUAUUACAUUGAAAAUUAUUAAUUAAUCCAUAAAUAAGUCAACAAAACUUCCUUUUAUAGUAAAAAUUUGCUUUUUUUUUUUUUUUUAUGUUUAACCCGUGCCCCAGGGGCACCGGUUAGCAUGACCCAUUUUACUCGGUUAAAGUGCUUUUACAUUCAUUCAAUUCAAGACUUAACACAUUUAAUAGUUUUACGUGUCAUGACACUAAAUUUUCUAAGCCAAAUAAUUAGGUACUCCUUCCGUUUCAAAAUAUAAACAAAUUUUACUUUUUAGAUUCAUUCAAUUAAUGAUGUAUGUGAUCCAUAUUAUGAACCACAUACAUCAUUAAUUGAAUGAACAUAAAAAGUAAAAUUUGCUUAUAUUUUAAGACGGAAUUGUUGGGAUGUUUGUCUGCGUUGCCGUAAUUUUUUUCCUUUUACAUGAGUUGAUUCCUUUUAUGUUUUCUCGAAAGAAUUUCUUUUAAUUAAGGGUGUUCAAAUCUAAACCGAUUCAGAAUAAAAUAACCGAUCCAAAAAAAUCGAAAACCGCAAAAAAUCGAAUAUUUUUAGAUGCGCUUCGAUGUUGUUUUAUAUAGACCGUUAGGAUCGGAUCAUUUUUUCGAAAACAAACCAAACCGAACCGUAACAGCAAAUAUUAAUACUUUUUUUUUUUUUUACAAAAGCAAAUAUUAAUACUUAUUUUGCUUUUUAUUAGUAUUCUCUAUUCCAUUAUUAUGUUGCAUGUUAGUUUUUUUUUUUUUUUUGUCAAGUAGCCUAGUGGCUAGAGCUCACACAAUUAAAUUGUGGAGAAUUGGAGUGUCUGGGGUUCGAACCCCAGCCCCGACAUAUAAUAUGCAAUAUCCCUACCAACUGUGUUAAGCUCACGGAGAUUAGUUUUUAAUAAUCUAUAUUAUUUUUUUAAGGAUAAUUUAAUCUAUAUUAUUAUUACUUUAUAUGUUUAAAAAAGAAUCGAUAACUUUCAUUCUGUACUUUUAAUUUUAUAAUAUAUUUUGCAUCGAACCUAUUAUUUGAUGUGUUUGUGUAAUAUUAAUAUUAAUAAAAUUAUUUUCUUAAAAAAAGUAAAUAGAAAAUCAUAUAUUUUGCAUUUUGAAUAUCCAAAAACCGAUCCAAAUUAAACCGCAUAUAUUUGGAUCAGAUCAGUUUGGAUUUUUUUAGAAUAGUCAUCCAAACCGAAUCGAACCGCAUAUGAUUUUUAUUUUGUAUUGAAUGACUUUUUAUCUCAAAAUCAAUCUAAACCGCACCGCGAACAUCCUUUCCUUAUAGUGCUACACUCUCCCAUACACACAUAUAUAUAUAUAUUUUAAAUAUGAAACACCGUUUCACGAAAAAUUGUUAUAUUUAUAGAAAUUAAAAACAUAUUUAUUCUUGUAUCUAAUACUUAUCUUUUAGCCGAUUAAAGUUUUAUUGUAAAAAAAAAUUAAAAAAAGCAAAUGGCGGGUGAAAAACACUUAAUAGAAGAGCGCGUGAAAGCAGGUGAGUCGAGUAGUGUGGUAAAUGGAAAAAUGGAAUCAUUCUUUUCUCCUCUAUUACUCCUUCCUUUCUUCUCUCUCUCUCUCCGCAAUUCUCUCUCUCUCUACAAAACCCUCUCUCUCUCUUCUGCAAACCCAAUUCAGGUUCGUUUUCCGAUUCCCAAGUUCUUUGUCUUUUCUUCCUUUUUCUUCGUUCCUUCUAUUUACGUGUUUUUCGCUCACUGUUCCAAUCUUUUCAACUUCUCAAACAUCUUCAAAAACUUUGCUUUUCUUCUUCUUCUUCUUACACUCUCAACUUUGGAACCGAACAACAAUUGGUACUAUUUUUGUUUUUCUGAUUGUUUUUAUUAUUACGUCAUUGUUGUUGUGUGUUUCAUCAAUUUGAGUUUGUUAUAGCUGUGAUUAGGGUUCUUACUUCUUCGUGUUUUUGUUGAUUUCACUUGUUUUGAAGGAGAUUUUGUUGUUUUGUAUCGAAUUGUUAAUGGGUUUAGUUUAAUUUUUGGAAAAUUUUGCUGCAUUAAAUUAGGAGAUUGUUUUUUGAAUUUGGGAUUUUUUUUGCUUAGGUGAGUGUUGUGGAAAUAGUGAAUUUGGUAUUGAAUUGUGGGAAUUUGGUUAAAGUUUGAGACUUUAAGUGAUUUUCAAAUUGUUAAGGAAUUUAGUUUAAUUUUUGAAAAACUUUGCUGCAUUGAAAUUAAGACUGUUUUGUAAAUUUGGUUUUUUGGUUUGUUGAGUGAUGUGUAAGCAGUGAUUUUGGUGAUGAAUUCGUAGAAAGUUUGAAGCUAUGAGUGAUUUUAUUGCAAUUAGUAAAGUGUGUAAUUUUGGGUUUUCUUUUGAAUUAUGUUUGCUUACUUCUUCUAGGUGAUUUGUAAAUAAUUGCUGCAUUGAAAUUACUCGCUUGUUUUCUGAAUUGGGAUUUUUUUUUUUGGGUUUUUUGUUUUGUUGAGUGUUGUCGAAGCAGUGAUUUUGGUGAUGAAUUUGUAGAAAGGUUGAUACUUUGAGUGAUUCUAUUGCAAUUUGCAAAGUGUGUACUUUUGGGUUUUCUUUGGAAUUUCGUUUACCUCUUGUUUACUUCUGGGUGAUUUUGUCUGCAGGGCUUUUGGAAUGUGUGUCUGCAACAAUGUCAAUAUAUUUACAAGAACUACUCUUUUGAUUGUAUUAUAUAUGGGGGAUUAGGCUUGUUGAUUAUUUGAUAAUCCAAUUUUAUUUUGUAACAGUGUGCUUUGGUGGUAUAGAAAAGUGACCGAUUUUUAUAGAUAAUGUUAUAGUUUGUUACUUUUGUUGUUGUUGUUGUACUGUAUUAUCUUGUUGAAGAAUUCAAAACAUAAUCGGCAAACGGGAAAAACUGAAUUUUGUUUGAUGGGUAAUAAACUCGGGAGGAGGAGACAAGUGGUAGAUGAAAAAUAUACACGGCCACAAGGUUUGUAUAAUCAUAAAGACGUCGAUCAGAAGAAGCUGAGGAAGCUAAUCCUAGAAUCAAAGCUUGCACCUUGCUAUCCCGGAGAUGAAGAAACUGCCGUAGAUCGAGAAGAGUGCCCAAUUUGCUUUCUGGUAUGGUUUCCAUUACAUAUCUCCAAUAGCUGUUGUAGUAAUUUUUUUAAAUAACUCAAUUCAACUUAGCGCACAUAUUUCAAUCUAUAUCUGAUGUGUGAUCAGUUUUGGGGUUUAAUUUAUUUUUUCUUCGAACCAAACUAAUGGAGAAUGUAACCUAGGAACAUUUCUACAUAAACAUGCUAAUCGGAAUUGAAGGAACACUAAGGGCCCGUUUGGGUUGUCUUAUUUUUUAGCUUAUGCAUAACAACUUAUGCAAAUAAAUAAACUUUUAUGCAUUAUUCAUUAGUUUGUUAAGGUAGUUUAUGAAAAAACGGCUUAUGAAAAUACAAUUUUCGUUAGUGAGAACUUAUGAAUUAACGUAAAAGCUUAUUUAUUUGCUUAAACUAUUUUUCGUUAGCUCAAAAAUAAGUCAAUCCAAACGGGUCCUAAGCAUAUGGACUGUUUUUUAGUUUUUGUUUCUUUGAACUCUGUUCCAAAAUGUGCAUUUUUCUUACCCCUUUUCUAAUCAAACUAUUCCAUUGUGCUUUGUUUUUUUCCCCAUGAAUUUAGUAUUAUCCAAGUCUAAACCGAUCAAGAUGUUGCACAAAGAGCAUUUGUACAGGUAAUGAUUGGUUAUCUUCACUGGUUGUAUACAUAUUCUGUCAUUAGCAUUUCUAUUCAACCUGAUUAAUUUCCUUUUAUCAGAGUGCUUUUUGCAGAUGAAAGUUCCGAAUUCAACUCGGCCUACACAGUAUCCUGUUACUAGUUGUCUGUCUUCAAUGUGAGGACGUAACUUCAAAUUGAUUGUCUAGCGACUUUCUUGUAGCUUUAGUAUUAGGAUAAAUGUUUGCCUUAACAGCAUUAGAUGUCCCUUCUGUAAAACGGCGAAUUAUGCUGUGGAGUAUCGUGGUGUAAAAUCAAAAGAAGAGAAAGGGAUGGAACAGAUUGUAAGUUGUUAUCUUCUAUGAUUAUUGUCUUUUUGAAUGGAAUUUCUAAAAAAACAAUUUAUAGUAAAGUCUUGCAUGCAUACUCAUAAAUAUUCAGGAGGAGCAGCGUGUUAUUGAGGCAAAAAUUAGGAUGCGGCAGCAGGAACUUCAGGAUGAAGAGGAAAGAAUGCAUAAAAGACUAGAAGUGAGCUCUUCAAAUGUGAAUGUGGCUGUUGCAGAUGUUGAAUACAGUUCAAAUGCAGGUAUUUUUAUUUUGAUUAAACGUAGUUCCUGAUUUUUUCUGUAUGUGUAAUGUGUCUACGUGACAAAUUCUAGUUGCAUAAAUUGUUUUGUUUAAAUUUCUGUAGUGGCUGAAUCUUCAACGUCUGCCAUUGAACACGAUGAAAUCGUCUCUUCUCAAGACUCGUGUGCCACACCGAUGGUUAGACCACCUCCUGCGACUAGGGCCAAUAGGUAUGAUAGCGUUCACUUCGUUUCUUUACCAAUCCCGCAACAUUUUCCUAUUAUGUCUCUUAGCGUUUCUGCGUCCAUUGUUUUUGUACCAACUUAUGGAUAUUUGAUCGUAUGUGAAUAUAUAUAAGUUAACCAUCUAUGAUUUUGUGCUAAUGCUUUGGAAAUUCUUUCAACCAACAAGGUUACAAGGAGUACUAUACUCAUAAAUUGUCUAAAUUUAAUUAUUUGAAAUGCACGCGUCUAUAUGUAAGCUGAAUUCAAAUCAUAAAUGAAUGGAACACUUGGUAUUGCAUGAGUCCCCGGGUUUGCGAUGUAAAUACUAAUAUUGACCGUCUUUUGAAUUAAAAUUAUGUACUGAAAAUCUCCCUGGAUGAUGCUGACUUCAGGUAAUUUGGUCCAGCUAUGAUGCAUUCAUUUUGGUCCAGCUAAGCCUUUGAUUUUUAAAUCACAACUAAAGGAAAUAUUCAUAGAAAUUCAUUUUUAUUUUCUGACGCUAGUAAUCCAACAUCUAAGUAAUCCAACAUCUAAGAAUUGGCCUGCUUCUAUGGGCUCUGCAGAAUAAAUCAUAAUUAAACCCACAGCAACUUCAAAACUAGUUUAAUUCCAACUUGAAUUUCAUUGAUUAUUUGUUAAUGGAAGUCUGAUUUCAUAAUUGCUUACCUAACAAAAUAGAUGAAGAGGGCAGUUGGUACAAUCAGUUAUAAUUUGAUUCCUUCGUUUUGAUUCAGUCGCUCACCUUGAACCAAUGCUGCUCCUGAUGUUUUGAUUGUAUGGAUGGAUAUGAUUAGGCAUGCGAGAAAUGAUGAGUCACACAGACUGACGAACAUUAAAAGCGAUUAGCUUUUUAAAAGGAGGAUUUGAGAUACUGAUAUGUGGCAAAUCCAUGAUUUGUUCUUUUGUAUCUGUACUUGAUUUAAAAUGUUUUAUGGGUUUGUUCAAUGUUUCAUUAUAUGCGUAAUUUAAAUUGAGAAGUAGAAUGAGACAACUGUUUAAGGAUUAUGGUACUACGACUAUGUUUUAGCUGUGCCAUCACUAUCCAUAAACCAUUUUUAAACUGGCUUGUUUGCUACAAUGUGCAUAUCUUAGUCUGAUUUUAUAAUAUAUAUAUAUAUAUAUAUAUAUAUAUAUAUAUAUAUAUAUAUAUAUAUAUAUAUAUAUAUAUAUAUACUGUGAAAUGGUUGCUGCAUUGGUCCUGCACUGAAGUCCAAGGAAGCACAUAUACUUUAAAAUUGGUGCUGUAUUAUUCUGUACUGCCUGGCUGCAUCCUGUAGUUUUUAUUUUUUGAGCUAACACCAAUGAUAUAUGACAAUAGUUGCAUAAAUGGUAGUCUCUUAUUGCAUUUCCAUUUACUAAUGCAAGGCUAAUGACAUCCAAGUUGAAGCCUUCACCGUUAGUCUGUUACUCCACCACAUAUAUAUUUUAGAAAAUCUUGCCCAAGAGAAAACUCUUUUCUCUAUUUGUGAUGGUUAUAUACACACAACACAGGUGGAGCCGCAUCAAUUUUGUUUGUUCAUUUAUGUUGAUGUCUUGCUAAAUAAGCAGUAAAUUGGUGUCCAUGGGUCUUUUAUAUAUUCCAUUUUUGAAAUUAUACUUUCUGGGCAUAUUUGAUAUUUUUUACUAAAUGUCGUAAACUGCAGAGAUGAUGAAUUUGAUGUUGAUCUUGAGGACAUAAUGGUCAUGGAAGCAAUCUGGCUUUCGAUUCAGGUGAAGAAAUAUAUUCGAAUAUACUUACUGUGAGCUAUCAUUGAUUUGAUUACAUUAUUAAAAUUGAAGUUCACCACUCCCUUGCAAUAUAUAGCAUUUCACAACUUGUUUCAAUAUCUAUUAAUGAAUAACAAUAUGCUAGAUAAUCUAUUGUUCAGUGCCAAUUGUCGAUCUAUUUUGAAAUUAUAUAGUUUCAGUUUAUUUUUCUCAAGAUCUCUAAGACAUUUAUAAAAAAGAAGCAAAUUCUUCACAGGGAGUGCAAUAUUUGUUCUUGUCUUGUUGAACCUCAUUAAUACUAUUUUUUACUUCUGGAAAGUGAUUUUUGGAUGAAACAAAUAUAUAAUAAUCCAUAAUUGAGCUUGGUACACUACUUUUGUAUAUAUAUUAAUAUUAACUUCCGAACAACAACAAAGAAAAACCCUCUUCAUUUAAAUUUCUUUAUUGCUUGUGCAUUUCUAGGUAGUACUUACUGACUACUUAAUACUUUUAUAAACUAUUGGAAUUCCAUAACUUUUCAUUAUUUAUGUCCAUGCUGUGAGACUUAUAUUUUGGCUUGUUGUGUUUUUGUGUCCAUGUGAUGUGAUGUCUAAUUAUGUUCGUGAUGACUAUACCUCUCAGCUUUUGACUGACCCGAUCAUUACAAAAGAACAAUAAUAAUUACUAUAAAAUACAUCUAGUUUCUAGAUAUAAUUAGCUCAAAAAGAUAAUUGAUGCAUAAUUUUAUACAGUAAGUUUGCAUACAAGCUCGCAUCUAGUAGGUUGCAAUAGCACUCCAAAGUCAAAAGCAAAUGCCCAUCAUUUUGGGUGACAUUUAUAUUGUGGAAAAACGACCCUUCCAUCCAAACCAUAUAUUUCCUUUUUCUUAAAGAAAUGUUAAUUUAUACUUGGGUCAUUAAGAACUUGUACAUUGCAGAGUAUCCGCAACUGUAAAGCAUAAGGUAAAAGUGUAAAACUAUAAAUUAUGUUGAUAUUAUGAAAUUCAGUGGUGGAUAUGCUGCCAUGUAAAAGAUUUGGCAAACCUGAGUCCAUGGACACUAUUAUGUGGCUUGUAUAAUCGUGUUUAUUUGAUCAUUGUGAUUGACUCAAUAUAUGUAUUAAAAUUACAGGAGAAUGGCAGGCAGAGAAAUUUAUCUUUUGCUGAUGCUACUUCUGGCCACUACGUAGCUGAUGAUCGCUAUGCUUCGUCUCCCAUGGUUCAACAGGCAGAGACAUCCUCGUCCCCAUCCCCAUCGGGGGGUCUUGCUUGUGCCAUUGCAGCUCUUGCUGAGCGUCAGCAAAUGUCGGGAGAAUCAUCUGUAAGCUCCAAUAAUGAAAAUACAUCAUUCAACAUGCUACCGGGUUCCAGAAGGUUUUAUAACCGGAUUGGUAGAGAUAUGGUUAGUUAUUCACCCACAGAAAACCUGGAUGAGGGGCCACCAGAUGAUACUAUGGCAACGACUAGGAGUCAUGGUCAAUGGAGCAUAGAUCAUGGAUCACAGGUAGCUGAAACGGCAACUAGCUAUGCAAACUCUGUUGAAGGAGAAGAUCGUGGUGAACUGUCAUCUAUGUCACAGUCUAAUGACAAUGAUGGAAGCUUUCAAAGUGCCACAGAACCUAUUGUUCCUGAGAGUUUUGAGGAGCAGAUGAUGCUGGCUAUGGCUGUCUCUUUAGCCGAAGCUCGAGCCAUGCCAAGUGGACAGAGCGCUUCAUGGCAAUAGUUUUGGUCAAGGCACUGCUUCAAUCUUUCUUAAAUUGGUGAUGCUUGCCUUGACUAUGUGGCCUACCGGGUCCUGUAUUUGGAGUUUGAGCAAAAGUCACACGUUGUGUGCAAUUUUGGUCAAGGAUCAGGUAGUGAUUCUCUUCUCACAUGAAUUUAUAUAUAUAGAUGUCAAAGGAAAACUAAUGAUUCAAGUUAGUGAAAGGUUGUUGCUUAAUGCCAUUUUUUUUACUGUGUGAUGUCUCCAUGCUCUCAUUGAUUUUCUGUAAAUAGUUUUUGUCUUUUGAUAAAUGUCUUUUCAUUCUUAUAGUAAUAUGCAGCGCAUUUUAGAAUUGUAGAAUUGUAAUGAACAAGAAAGGAAAUUAAAUAUCUAUUUCAGUAAAUUUCAUCAAUCGUUACAUUCAUUAAGACCAUGAAUGAUGUUAAACUGCAUGGUGUCCCACUUAUAAACUUCUGAGGAAUUCUGCAUAAAUUGUCUGAGUGACCUUCGGAAAACUAUUAAGAAAAUGUGCAAUCGUAGUAAUACACUCUAACCCACUCCAUUAUCGAGUGAAAUUCAUAUUAUCUUGUUCAUUGGUAGGACACAUUCAAAGUGGCAAGACUCGCAUAAAUUUCAUUCCAUAAUAGUGUAUUGCUACCAUUUCUCUUCAAAGAAUUUGGAUUUAAGUGGUCUGUGACUGGACCUUUUUCAUCAUGGGAUAAAUUUGAGAAUUAUCUGAAGGUAGAAACAAAUAAUUUUCAUGAUGGGAUAAAAAAACAAAUUCUCUAUAAAGAAUCUUCAGGAUGGGAUAAAAAAACAUGAAGGUAGAAAUAAAUAAUUAUCUGAGAACUCUAAAACUGAUUUUUUUUCUUUCCCUUUCUAUAGUUUAAAUAAAUAUGUACAAAAUAACAAAACACACUCAUCAGUUAUCACUGAAGUUAAUAAUGGAUUUAAUUCCUCCAAAGUGGGGCAAUUCAUAUUAGAAGCAAGAGAUCCUAAUUGUUGAUGAAAGACUCCAAUGUUUGAUAUUACAGACACAUUGCAAACAAAUCAUGAAUAUGUUUAAAUAUCUACUAUAUGAUAUUCUCAAUAACUAAAAUGUUCAACACUUUUGCUUUUUCUUGUGAGAGCUUAUUUUGGAUGCUAAAUGUUAGUGUAGUUUGUUCGCUAGAUGAAUGAGUUGAUUUGGUGUUACAUGAGAAAUUCUAGACAUUUUCUUUUCUGAUUAAACUGUUUUUAAGUGACUGCUCUUAGUUAUGAUGUGAGAACAAAAGAUGGAAAUACAAAAGAUUUUCUGAUAACUGAAGGUGUAACCAAGGGUCAAAUUUGAGCAUUUAUUUUUUCAUGUUGGUUCUAAAUAUGCUUAUUGAUCACACCUAAAAGAUGGGGUGACAUGCAUGAUUUUGUACAAGGGAAUGAAUUUUCUAAUGAAUCAGUGGUUACACAACACAAAAUAAGAUUAGAUAUACAAAUAUUUUAGAUAGAAAAUUAGAGGAAAUCUAUUGUGGAAGAGAUGUUAGUCUUGUCAUAGGUGGUUUGUCCAUGUUGGAAGAUACAUGUAAAAGCAUCAAUAAGGGAGAUAAAGGAAACUAUAGGACAAAAUAUUAAGCGACAUGUAAAGGUUAAUGGUUUAUCUGUAAACCUAAUAAAAGGAAGAACUUUAUGACAUCAUCAAUUAAUUUAUGUAGCCAAUCUCACCUACUAGGAAAACUUUAGUUGUAAUGAUCUAAUUUCUAGGAAGGUAGUUAGCUUCCUGGUGAAGCAAUUUGAAAAUUUUGUUGAGAAGAAUUGUAAGAUUUUUUGAGAUAAACAUUGUUAUUUAUGCAGAUCAAUCAGUGUUUUCACAUAUUUAUAUAUUUCAUAUUUUACUUGUCUGUUCAUGAAUCUUUUACCAUAUUGUCACUAUAAGUAGGUUGUAUUGGUAAAAUUUGGCAGACCAAUAUGAUUGUCACCAUUUGCCCUGCCACUAAAUAGGCGUCAAUGUCAGAGCAGUAACAAUUUGGAUAUUGGAUUGAGAACAUGGUGAAGAGUGGAUAUACUAUGCUUACACUUGGCUCUCAUAGUUCUAAGAGAUUAUAUAUUAUUUGGUGACAAUUUUUUACUCUCUCUCAAUUUUGGCCCUUAGCAGAUAUCAUAGCCCACUCAAACUUUAACACAUAGUUUUAAAACUCGGCUCGGUCUUCGACUCGGCAGAGACAUUGGAUAAUUGAGUCGAUGGUCGAAUCAUCGGGUCACUGGUUGAACCGCAUGGCUGAAUCGGAUUAAACCGGAUGACUCGAUUAAAUAAUUCGGUGUUUAUAUUAAAUUUGUAUAGGUAUUUAAUCAGAUUAAAUCGGAUUGAACCGGUGACUCGGUCACUCCAAAAACUAAAAUAAUGACACAUAAAAUAGAAUAAAAAUAAAUAUCCAACAAACAUAAUUUUAUAGACUAAUUAUUAUGAGUUUUAAAUGAAAUAUUUGAGCUUGAUAAUUAUAUAUGCUUAUUUAUUUAUUUUUUGUUGAAAUAAUUAUAUAUGCUUAUGAGUUUGGCAAAGUUUUUUUUUUUGAAAGAUGAUUUUGACAAAGAUUAUAUACGUUUAUUUUAUGAGGUAUUUUUAUCAUAAAAAAAUAAAAGAAAAUUGAAAGAAGCAAAUUGAACACAAAAACUGAUAGUGUUUCAGUGGCUGGGAGAGUUUUCUUUAAUAGUUGGGUCACGAAUUCAACUCCCACCAAAGCUACUUUUUACAAACAUAAUUUAAUUAAAAUAUGUUCUUGCUUCAAACCGGUCCAACCAAAUACUCGGCCGAGUCACCGAGUUUGAUCGGUUUUUGCCGAGCUAACUGCAUGGCAGAUCCUGCUCGAACCGGCCUACCCACGGUUUGCGGUCCGACCGGUCUAUUCAACAUUUAAGUUUUUUUUUUUUAAGGAACUUCAACAUUUAAGUUGAUGUGUUCUAUUCUUUUUUUUUUUUUGAAAUUCCAUCCUUUUUCAUUAAUCAAACAGAGGAGCCUGAACGCGGCUUACAACAGGAUUACAAAAAGGAGAAGAGAAAAGGCAUGGAGGGGCAUUCCCCUGCCAGCAUCUAGUUCCAACAGACUUUGCCAAAGCGGCUAAAUUAUGAGCUUCAACAUUGAGCUCUCUACUAACAUGAGUAACCAUUACAAAUGGGAUUUGUUCAAUUAAAUUCCAGCAAUCAACAAUAAUAGGUGUAAUAGAAGCAACUGUACUGGCUUUAUUAACACAAUUCACAACACUAAGGGCAUCACUUGACAGUUUCAGACUCUGGAUACUUAAACCUACUGCCUCUUGCAGCGCCCAUCUGACUCCCAUAGCCUCAGCCAGACACGGAUCAACCUCCACUGCUUCCAGCUUGCUCUUGCUGAGAGUGAUUUGUCCGGAAAGGUCUUUCAUAAUCAAUCCCCAACCUGUAUGUCCAUUGGAGAAACACCCUGCGUCCACAAAUAAAUGAUGUUCUGCAAUCUGGUCCGUGGUAGUAGGUUCCCUCCUGUGGUAGAUUGGAUGGGGUCGUUGCUUGGCAUUUGCUGCGUUAAAUUCCUGGAUAAACUGAACCGCAGUUUGGGCUAAGGUAACAGGAUCAGGGGCAAUUCCUUUGAAGACAGCCUGGUUUCUAGCAUACCACAACUUCCAAAGAAUGGUACAAAACAGUUGUGACCCUUCCUUGUCACGGCAUGAAAGCCAGUCAAGCAGCCAGCAGUGGAUAUCCAUAUUAAAAGGGGCAUGAGAUCCCAAAGGUGAGGCAAACAGGGCUCAUUUUGACAAGUUACAGUUCAUAAAUAAGUGUUCCACAGUUUCCACAUCAGAAUGACAUAACGGGCAUAAAGGAUCCAAGGAUAUACCUUUCUUUUGUAGAUCGUGCCUGGUUGGGAGGAUGUUCUUUGCCAAACGCCACAUGAAGUUUUUCACUUUAUUAGGAAUGAUUGCCUUCCAAAUUUCUUUCCAGAGUCUCUCGUUUCUGUGGUAGGAUGGUCCCGGCUGGAGGUUUUCUCUUUUUUUGCUCAAUAAGUGGUAAGCCGACCGUACUGAAUAGCAGCCAUCUUUCUCCCAAUGCCAGCAAAUUUUAUCUCUAGGAAGGGAAUGUGAUAUAGGGAUACUUACAAUUUUUAGAGCCUCCUGCUGAUUGAAAACAUUAUAGAUUAGGCUUCUAUUCCAUUGUCUCGUAGUUGUAUCCACAAGUUCUUCAACCAAGGCUUCCUCUCCUAGAAUACAAGAGUCCCCCCUUGAAGUUAUCAGUUCCAGACUCGGCAUCCAGACAUCCUUCUAUCAGUUCCAGACUCGGCAUCCAGACAUCCUUCCAGAUUCUAAUACUUUUUCCAUCUCCAACAAUCCAUCUCCCACCUUCCUUAACCACCUCCCUUGCACUGAUGAUGCUGCGCCACCCGUAGCUAGGUUGAUAACCGGCUUUUGCCUCCAGAAAGGUGACUCUAGGAUAGUAUCUGCUCUUUAACACUUUCCCAAGAAGUGAGUCAUCUCCGUUUGAGAGUCUCCAGCAAUGCUUCCCUAGUAAGGCUUUGUUGAAAUCAGAGAAGCCACGAAAGCCUAGGCCUCCUCUUUCCUUGGCUUUUGAGAGUUUAGCCCAACUCAUCCAGUGUAUCUUCCUUUCCUCUUCCUUGGACCCCCACCAAAAUUUUGCUAGCAUGGAAUCAAUGUCUUUGCAGCACCCCUCUGGCAGCUUGUAGCAACUGAGAAUAUAGUUUGGGAUUGCUUGGGCAACUGCUUUUAUGAGAGUUUCCUUCCCUGCUCUUGAUAAGAACCUUUCCUUCCAU